RNAcentral lists this long non-coding RNA (56939 nucleotides) under Eucalyptus grandis. Its description in RNAcentral is "long non-coding RNA (EGRA_LNC000596)". Lineage: Eukaryota; Viridiplantae; Streptophyta; Magnoliopsida; Myrtales; Myrtaceae. The record is from RNAcentral.
CCUCUCUCUCCUCUCCCUCGCUCUCUUCCCUCUCAAUCCCAGGCUCCUCUCUAUUCCUCGGACGAACUGCGCCACCGCCUCCACCUCCCGACCACGUUCUGGAGCCCAUCAGUGGCUCCGAUUCGCCGUCUGGGCCCAGCGAGCUCGAGUUUGAACCUUCCGUGCGCGCGCUUCGCUCCCGUUACAGCGAAGGUGUCUUCCUGGUCACUCCCGACCAUGUCGCCGCCUCUGCCUCCGCCUCCGCCUCCGCCUCCGCCUCCGCCUGUCCCGUUCCGGAAGCUCCACCGGGGGCUCCGGUUCAUCGUCUACGUCCGACGAACUCAGGCUAGGGUUUUUCCCUCUUUCGCGAUUGUAUCCUCGAGUGUUACUUUUGUGGGGAACCGGUGGAACUGGUGGCUCUUUGGAAAGAAUUUGUUGUCUGGGAGAUUCUCUCUUUCCUGGCCGGACGUUAAGGUUAUAGAAGAUGCAUCGACUUGAUAAAUUCGUUAUUUCUGGUUUGGUGGAUUUUUGUUUUCCUGUCAGUUUUCUGGCACUCCCGAAUUUCCAUAUUUUAACUUGUAUUCGAGUGUUUACACGGAAUUUCAUCAUAGAUUUUUCUUUUGGCUAGGCAAGGCCUACAUUAUAUUUACUAAAAGCAAUUCUGUACUUAGAGCUGAAAGUAAAAAAAUUUGUCAAUCACGAAAACAUUUUCACAAUUUAUUCUCCUAAACAGUACUUAAGGACAAAAAUGGGGAAUAUAUUUUCACACAGCUAAUUUCUCGUAAAACAUUCCCUCGGUCUCCUCUGUAGUAUGCAAAUUGGAAUGGAGAAUCCAUACUCAUCAUCAGUAACUCCGCCUAAAAGCUGGUGAAUUGACGUAAAAAACUUGGGAAGGUAAAAAGAUUAAUUGGUAUGAAACUUGAACCUUUAUAGGGCAGACUGCAAGUGGAAAAUUUUUUACUCUCAAUGCCGCCUAGGAAAAGCACGUUUCCACGGCGGUCUUACAAAGUUCCAUGAGAAAUUCUUUGCCUUAACCAUUCAUAACGAAGGAUAGGAAAACAGAAUAGACCCUAUAGAGGUUCCCAUGAAAGUUACCAUACUCAUUAUGAGUUACUCGGUUUAAGCCAUAACCGCGGCUUAUUUGACAAAUCAGUCGCUACUACAUCACAGGAUGCAAAUUUAAAUACAGCUGGAAGGGCUACAGUUAAUACAGGCCAGAGCAAGGUCACGUAACCUAGUUUGCUUUUAAUUGGAACUAAAGAAUUUUGAAUCCAGAUUGAUGUGUUCAGAGUUGGGUCCCAGAACAAUUUAAUCAAAUUAAUCCACACACGCUGCAUUCAGAGAUUGGGCGAGCUCAACCAAUUUCUACUUCAUUUUGGGAUGUUUGUCCUCCACCGUCAGUGCAGAUGAUGAAGGCAAUAACCCCAGAGAUACCCUCAGGACAUCCAAACUCUUAUAAUACUGGAAAUUCCCAUGGAAAGCCGCCACCUUGCCUUGAGAAACCACCAAUAGCUUGUCUGCGCUUCUAGAUAUUAGAUGCUCAUCGAGACUAACCUGCAAAUCAAGGCGAAAAGAGGGCUGUCAGCUGCGAAAUGAUCCAUCCAAGAAACAAGACCAGACCUCGAAUGAGUGCCUCAUCCACAUCCUACAAUUGGGUAUAGUGGAAAAGGCAGGAUCAUAUCUAUUUCUAGACAAGAAACUAACGAUUUACAAAGAUGACACUUGAGUAGUCACUACUCAUUAAAGCAAAACUAAGAUUGAACAUUUAUAAGCAAGAAAAGGGUCCACAUUCAUUAUGUGCAAAGCCCAACACUACCUCGAAGCACAAACAUAGGAACUACUUGGUAGUAUCAUAGAUUACUGUAAUACAAACACACUGAUCAGGCUAGUAGAACCAUUCUAUUCCCAACAUUUUGCAAGUUGGAAAAACUAGAUNNNNNNNNNNNNNNNNNNNNNNNNNNNNNNNNNNNNNNNNNNNNNNNNNNNNNNNNNNNNNNNNNNNNNNNNNNNNNNNNNNNNNNNNNNNNNNNNNNNNNNNNNNNNNNUCAAAUGGUGCAAGAACAUAACAGCUAACUGAAAAAGAAAAAUGAGUAAACCCAAUUAAAUGAUUGGAUGGCUUGUCAAGCAGAACUAUGUGAGGUUUCUUGAAAGUUAUCUUGGCAGAUGCAACUCUACUUAUCUAACCACCUAUGUACAUGGUCAAAGCACCAUGUUAUAUGUGCAAUAACAUCCAAAAAGCCUCAGAGCAAGUACACAGUGAACCACAAUUGAGAUUACAUAUCAACUAACCUCAGCUUCACGAUAUCACACAAAAAUUGCAUGAAAUUUUUUUUUACAUGCGCAACAGUAGCAAAGAGAGAGAAGAUGAUCUAGACAAGGUAUACAUUGAUGAAGUGCAGGAUUUCCAGUUAGACCAAGGAACCCAGGUGAGCUCAGGAAGAAUGCCACAUAAGAAGGUAAUUUCAGAUACAAUGACAUGGUGUAUGACGAAUUUAAAGAACUGACAAGAUUUGCCCCAGAGGUCACUACUGACAAUGCAAACCUAGAGAUAGGUAGGAUAUCAUUACCGUCUCAACCAAAUAAGCAUGAGUAUAUUGGCUAAAAAUUUCUAGCAAGCUGUAGGUAAUAGUUCCUAACUCAACAGAGAUCAAGACCUAAAAAUAAGGUGGUUUAUGAAUAUUGAUCCUAUCAUGAAUUUGGGUUGCAUUGAAAGCUUAGAGCCAUGAGCACCCUAAAUAGACUGCUUAAUACUAUGAAGGAUCAUCAUCAAUAAAAAGAAGGUUCUCAAUUCUAAAGAAAACCAUAAUUAAAAAAAAAAUUGCAUCCCCUUUCUUCACAAUCAUAUCACAGCUUCCACAUGACUAAUUUGAUUUUUAGAUUUUGAGAGAGAUAAUUCUUAUUUGUAUAAUAAUCAUAAGAAGAAAAUUUAUAGCAUAUCAGUGCACCAAAUAAAUUUAACUGAUUCUUCCUUUCUUGUAAAUUGUUAAAAAUGACACAUAACAUUGACAACACAACCCUACCUCAAUAAUUUUCACAAGUGGUCCUUCCAAGAAAUUUUGCCAAUACAGAUGACAAUGGCAUCUUGCAAAACAAUCAAAGUGGAUGAGCUAGGGCACGAGAAAAAGAUGUUGGGAAGAUAGCACACAACAGAUGCUGAAAAUGCAGAGGAAUAUGAUUGUGGAACACCAUUGAAUCUUCAUGAUUCUCAUGUAUUUGAAUAAAAGAAGGAUGAAAUAUAAUAUUUGACCAAGCUACGCAAGGCCUACAUUAUAGUUAGUAAAAGCAAUUCUGUACUUAGAGUUGAAUACAAAGUUUUGUUGACCGUGAUAAUAUUUUCAUAAAUAAUUCUCCUAAACAGUGCCAAAGAGUGAAAAUGGGGAAAAUAGUUUACUGUGCAAAAACAUUCGUUUGCAAAUGAUUAAAUCGUUUUAGUGUGCAUGGGAAAGCUGACUUCAACGGCAAUAGAGUAUCAAACUUCCAGGGGCACAACAAAUGAACCUAUUGCUAGAACAAAAUGUGCAAAGAAUCAUAAAUUAUAUUAGGACUACAAUCCCAACUCAGUUCUUAAGCUAUUACAAAUGAUACUGCAUGCUCGAUGUCAAAAACUCAGACUCAUCGUUCCAUGAGCCCUGUCACGUAUAAAUGACAAAUAAGGGUUGGUGUAACUAUGAGUCCGUCCUGUAUAUCAGCAGCAAUCCUCUCUUCAUCCUUUUUCUCUUUCUCUAUGUAGCUAAGCCUCAUUUUCAGUUAUGUGAGGUAAUGUGAACCCAGUGAACCAUUCUUAGUUGAUGGCAAUAACCCUGAUUCAACAAAAACCGGAGUACAUUCCUAUAGUCCCGGAAAUUCCCAUAGAGAGGUGCCACCUUGCCUUGUGAAACCACCUAGACUUCAUCCAAGCUUCUAGCUAUUAGAUGCUCACCAUGACUAAUCUGCAAAUCAAGGUGAAAAGAGGGCCAUUAGCUGUGAAAUUAUCCAUUGUUGGUCAAAUUGAAGUAUUUUGACAAGAAAAUCAAUCUCACCAUCGAAAUUACUCCGUGGAACAAGGCUAGACAUUGAAUGAGUGCCUUAGCCACAUCCAAAUCCUACAGUUUUGGACAGGCAAAAAACAGAAACACUAAUCAUUAGACAAUAAAAUAACAAUUUACAAAGAUAAUUCUUUAGUCACAAGUCAUUAAAGCAAAACUUAAAGACCGGAUUUAUAAACAAAAAGGGGNNNNNNNNNNNNNNNNNNNNNNNNNNNNNNNNNNNNNNNNNNNNNNNNNNNNNNNNNNNNNNNNNNNNNNNNNNNNNNNNNNNNNNNNNNNNNNNNNNNNAUAUUUUCCACAUUGGAGCAAUUAGAUUGGUUUCUGUUCCAUUAUUUGCUAGAUGUAUGAUGACAAGGGCUACCAGCAGCUGUGACCACUAAUUGGUUCUACUUUAUUUUUAAUGUAAAGACCAAAUUCCGACAAGUCCAAUUAGUGCAAGGACAAUAAUAAGCUAACCAAAAAAGUAAUCAAAGUCAUAAAAUGGAGAAAUAUGAGUAGAACUUACCAUAUGAUUGGAUGGCUCGUCAAGCAAAAGAACCCAUGUGAGCUUGAACAUUUUGUUCCGAAACUCCCUGUAGGAAGAAUGCCACAUGAGAAGAUUAUUUUAAGAUAAAAUGGCAUAAUAUAUGAUGAAAUAUAUUCUGCGGUCGAGCAAAUGGAAAUGCCAACCCAGAGGUCACUACAUUACAAUCUCAACCAAACAAGCAUAAGUAUAUUGGCUAUAAAUUUCUAGCAAGCAGUGAGCAACAGUUCCAAAACCACCAGAGUUCAAGACCUAACCAACAAGCAAUUUAUGGAAUAUCAAUGCUGUCACGUGAAAGCUUGAAGCCAUGAGCCACCUCAGAAUUUUAUCCCGGAUUGACUGCUUAAUCCUACAAAGAAUCAUCGUCAACAAAAAAAAAAAAAAGGUUCGCAAUUCUAAAGAAAAACAUUAAAAAAAAAAAAGCCGCGUCCCUUUUCUUCCCAAUCACAUCACAGUUUCCACAAAACUAAUCAUGCUUUUAGAUUUUGAAAAAUAUUUGUUCUUAUUUAGAUCAUAUUCACUAGAAGGAAAAUUCAUACCACAGCAGUGCAACAAAUAUAUUUAAUUGCUUCUUCCUUUUUUGAUAAAUUGCAAAAAAAAAAAAAAAAAGAAACAAGACAUUGACACUAACAGCAUUAGCCUUACUUUAGCAGCGUUAGCACAUGAUCCUUCCAAGAGAUUCUGCCAAUGCAAGAUCACAAUGGUAUAUGCAAAACAACCAAAGUGAAUGAGCUUAUGGGCCCAAGAAAAAAGAUGUUGGGAAGAGAAUAGACAAUAGACGCUGAAAAUGCAGAGGACUAUGAUUGUGGAAUGCUAUGAUUCUUCGUGAUGGUGCGAUUUCAUUCACAAAUGGUUUGGGCAUCAAUUAGAAAUAAGGAUAUGUCAUCAACAUUGCAAGAGGCAGCAUUGCGAGCAUUUCAUCCUACAGUUCAUUGUCCAAUGAAACAAAGCCAAUCCAACCCAACGAGAUCCCCCACCCAAACAUUAGUUCGUACUAAGCAUCGAAUUGAGAAAGUAGAAUGGAAAAAGAUGCCUUCAAAACCAAAAAUAACUUACUCGAUGAGAUAGCUAGUACGAGUACCUAGAGGGGGGUGAAUAGGUAUACACAAAAAAUUUCUCGAUGUUUGCACGAUAUUUAAACAAUUAGAGACUUUGCAACAGUUGAAAAUUCAAUCGCAAGACUGAGUAAGGGAAAGAGAGAAUUGAACACUCAGUUUAUAGUGGUUCGGCUUGAUUCAAGCCUACGUCCACUCUUCUGCACUGACAGCCGAUUGGCUGGAUUCCACUAUGAUCAAAGAGUUGUUACAGUGUUGAUCUUCCUUGAUUUCUAGGUGUAGAUGAUCUACCACACUCGCUCAAGGCGUCACCAAGUAUAAACACUCUCAGUAUACAAUUUCGCUCAGUCUCAACUAACAAUCAAAGGAUCUUCAGACUCUGGAAUUUUUCUAUCGAUCACACUCUUAAAACAACUAGAACGUCUUCCUUUUAUACUCCUUCAUGCCAUCAUAGCCGUUGGCACUUACCAAAGGAAUUCCUCCAAUCUACCCGUUGGACGGAAUCAAUCAAGAAGAUCAUCCGAGCUAUAUAAGGAAUCUGAUGAUAGCCCAUCAAUCCUGUUCGCCCAUACAAUCAGGAUCUCGGUUUCCAAGAAUAGAAUAAUCCAAGAUUAUUUCGUCGACCAUCGGAUCUUCAAUCGUUCUUAGAUAAGAUAUAAAGAAUCCGAAAUGAUUAUCCAACCAAAGAAUCUAUCCCAGAGGAUAGGAUCAAAUCCUCAAUCAUAAACCUCGACUUUGGAUUUCCUUCAACACUGGAUUAGAAAGACUGUCAGUGAGAAUAACUUUGAGUCUUGAGUCUUGAGUCUUGAGUCUUGAGUCUUGAGUCUUGAGAUAACAAAGUCUUGAGACUAUAAAAUCUUGAGACUUUAACUAUCGAUAUCCAGACUUAGACUGAUAGAAAUGUUUUGUCAGCUUCAAAAUAUUCUGGAAAGAUUUCUCCAACACUCGAUCCCUAAGAAAACUGACUGUAGUGUAGAUCGGCUAGUCAUCAAUCUCGAUAUUAGGGAUCUCUUCGAUGAGGGGCCAAUAGUUGCCAGUGAGUUUUGCACAUCGCUCUUUCAAAAUCUUGCAUCGAUAUAUGCGCAAUUGUUGGAGGGAGGGAGGGAAGCCAUCCUCUGGCAAGUACCUCAACUUGGGGCACUUUGCAAUCGUUAAAUACUUGAGAGAGGAGAGAUGGUUGCGAAGGCCGCUCGAUAGUCUUUUCGCUUUUCUCAAAUCAUAUAUCGAAAGAUAGGUUAGAGAGAAAGGAAAGAGACUCCAAGCAUCCUCAUCCUCCGAAGGAAACCACUCCUUCUCUCCCUCCCCUCCCAUGUUAAACUCAACGAUCAGACUCUCGAGAGAUGUGAGCAGGUUUAAGCCCCACUCUCUCACUGGUUGCUUUAGAUCCACGAGCCCCGAAAUAACAAGCUUUCGCAAUUUGGGAGGCAAACCUCCUUUGGGUAAGCAUUUGAUAUUUUGGCAAACGAGAAUUAAUAGCUCUUGGAGGGAUGUAAGAUGAUGCCACUUAUUUGGCAGGGUCUUUAUCAUCGGACAAUCCCAAAGUUUAAGCCUCUACAAGGUGAUGGGAAGGGGUGGGAAGUCCUCUAUCUCCAAUAUCGGACACUCCCAUAUUUCCAAUUUAGUGAGAUUGUUACAGUUGGCAAUGUUACAGUUGGCAAUAGACUUUAUCUUAGAACAAUGAUUAAGAACAAGACUCGAGAGGGUUAAGGGAAGGGGAGGGAAGUCCUCUAUCUCCAAUGUUGGACAAUUAUAAAUAUGCAAUCGAGUGAGAUGGGAGAGCAUGUGAAGGCACUGUGGUAAGCUUCCCAUAAUUUGACAAUCGCUAAUUGUCAUUAUUUCAAGUGAUUCUACGGCAAUCCCUUCCAACGACUCCACUCCCUUACAAUUGUCUAUAUGAAGUGCCUUCAAAGCAGCAAGUCUACCCUUGGCAAAUGAAAAGGAUAUCGGAUAUCAUAAUAGUGACGUAUCNNNNNNNNNNNNNNNNNNNNNNNNNNNNNNNNNNNNNNNNNNNNNNNNNNNNNNNNNNNNNNNNNNNNNNNNNNNNNNNNNNNNNNNNNNNNNNNNNNNNNNNNNNNNNNNNNNNNNNNNNNNNNNNNNNNNNNNNNNNNNNNNNNNNNNNNNNNNNNNNNNNNNNNNNNNNNNNNNNNNNNNNNNNNNNNNNNNNNNNNNNNNNNNNNNNNNNNNNNNNNNNNNNNNNNNNNNNNNNNNNNNNNNNNNNNNNNNNNNNNNNNNNNNNNNNNNNNNNNNNNNNNNNNNNNNNNNNNNNNNNNNNNNNNNNNNNNNNNNNNNUUCCUUAGCUUGCCCAAGCAACUCAUAAAUCGAUGAUCAAAGGAAACAAGCUCUAUGAGUUUGUUAAUUUUGAGAAUUGUCAAAGAAGUUAGCUUGAACAAGCUCUUUAAGAUCUCCUUACUACAAUCCUCAAGGUAUAACUCAUCGAGAGAUGGAAGACAUAACUCACUGGUUGAGUUAUUCAAUUGUUGGCAUGAAUGAAUUUCAAGCUUUAUAAGACGAUCAAGUUGACAAGGCAAUGUCUUGACCAACGAAGGACAGCUCCGGACAAUAAGAUGCUCAAGACAAGAGAAUGGGACUUCUUCUUUUGGCCCCCUGCAUAAGGAGACCAAUCCUUCCAUGCCAACAUCUCUUCAAACUACAAAGUAAUUAAGGAAGAAAAAGGCCUAUCACCUCCAUAAAAAAAUAGAGCCUAUUAUUCUUACUGCAUUUAGACCUUUAAGAGAUAAUUGUCUCAAUGAAGGUAGUUGUCCAAACGAAGGCAAUGAUGUGACAUAAGGACAGUUCCACAAGCUCAAAGACACUAUCCGAGAAUAUGAUGAACCAUCUAACCAUGACGAGAAUAUUGCACCACCAUAGUUCAAAAUAGUGAGAUUUUCAAUAUCAAUGGGAGGUUGCAAAGACUCGAGCACCCGUGAUUCGCGCUUAUCAUUCCGAAGAAUUCCCAAAUCUUUAUCCCAAUGCAAGAAUAAUUUUCUUAGGCCUUGCUUUCCAAACAAAUUAGCAUCAACACCAUCUCUAACAUCUUCCACCUUUUGUAAUUUCAAUAUGAAUAAUUCUCCUUGAAGAUGUGACAAGUUCUUUAACUCCUUUAACUGUAGCCCUUUCUCUGUUCCUACCACAAACUUGGACAAGAUAGUAAGAUUCUUCAAGUUAUUGAUACCCGAUGGCAUCUCUUUUAGACUUUUUGUAUCUCUAACAUCAAGAAACUGUAAGCUGACCAACUUUGUGAUACCGUGAGGCAACUUUGAAAGCUGAUGACAACCUCUUAAGAUCAAAGCUUGUAAUUUGCACAAGUCACCAAUUGACUCAGGUAGCCUUCUGAUAGAAGUGUUCGAGAAAUUGAGAUAUCGAAGAUGUUUUAAUUCACCAACACAAUUCGGUACCUCUACGAUGCGACAAUGACAUAAUGAAAACACCCUAAGAAACUUCAAGUUUGUUAGCAAGUCAUGUAGCACCUUGUCGGAUAUAAGGAGAGAGUUGCCACUAGGUCCAAUAUGCACUAGAAUUAAACUUCUUAAUACCUUCAUAUCAUGAUAUGGCCUCAAGCAUUUUGAUGUAACAAACUACGACCAGAUGAAUGAUGCAUAACGAGCUCUCUCAAGAGAUGCAUAAUCUUCAUUAAUUGCUAGCUGAGACUCCCCAGUGCUAAAGCAUAUCCCACCCUCAAUUGACUUUGCUAGAUCAUUCAAAAGAUCAUGCAUUGAAAACUUAGAUGUGUCAACACUUGAUUUUUGAAGAAAUGAUCUAGAUAAUAAUUCAUCGAAGUAAUUCCAUCCUAAUUCAACUUAUUUUUUCUUUGUUUUUUGUCCAUCUAGAAAUCCCUCCGCUAUCCAUAAGAGUACUAGCUCAUCCCUCUCAAUUUCAUAAUCCUUAGGAAAUACCGCACAAUAAGAAAAGCAUCUCUUCAAAUAGGAAGGAAGAUGGACAUAGCUCAAUUUCAUAAUAGGGAGAACCUCAUCAUUCUUUGUCGUUGGAAGAUCCCAUAUUAAGUUAUUUAAGGUAUCUUCCCAUUCACCGGGUUUCAUUUUAUUACGUAGGGCACCGCCAAACAUCUUCGCUGCCAAAGGUAAACCUUUACAUCUUUUAGCUAUUUUCUUGCCUAUUGUUUCAAAUUCCGGGUAGCUCUUAAAAUUUGUUGCUUCAAGAGCAUGAAAGGCUAAUAAGCUUGUACAAUCAUCGAGGGACAAUUCCUUCAAAGGAAUUGGCGGUGCUUUAGUUACUGAAACAACAGCAUCGUUGCGAGUCGUAACAAUAAUCUUGCUUCCCCUAGCACCCACUACAAAUGGCUUUAAGAGGUCAGUCCAUUUUUCGUACUUCUCAUUCCAGAUAUCGUCUAGAACCACAAGAAACUUCUUUCCGAAAAGAUUGUCCCUCAACUUAACUUGAAACUCGUUUAGAUCUUUGCCCUCGUAGGGCAACCCAGUAAUUGACCGCAAAAUAGUCUUUGUUAUGUCGAGAACAUCAAAAACAUCUAAAACACAAACCCAUGCUCUCAUCUCAAAACAUCUAUUCACUUUGGCAUCAUUAUACAGCUGUUGAGCGAAGGCAGUCUUUCCAAUGCCGCCCAUCCCAACUAUGGGGACUAUGCUUAGCGUGGCAUUAGAAUUUUCAACCUCAUUGAUCAAUAGUUCGAGUAUUUGUUCUACUUCCUCCUCCCUACCAAAAAACUGAGGCUCUGAUAGAGAAGUGGUUAUCCUUUUGCUAGUGUAGUUGGAUUUGUCCACAACAUUCUCUCUCAAGUUUAGAUGAGCCUUUCUAGUGACAAUCGCUUCCAACCGGCCAUUGAUCUCUUGUACCUUGGUUUCAGACAUGAGCGAGGGUGGUCGGCUAAAUACAGACUUCCAUUUCCCCAAACCUUUGCUUGUGCUAGAUUUUGCCUCUAACUCAACCUGAGUAGCUUUGAUCUCAAACUCAUCGAGCAAGUCUUCCAUGUCAUAGGCCAAGUCCUUAACCUUGUCCAGCCACAGCUUCACUUGAUGGUUAUCGCUAAGUUCCUUGUCCUCUGUAUCAGCCAACACUGCAUUGAUUAUGACUAGCUUCUCCUUCCACUCCUUAGGCAAGGUAGUCUGAUUCCUUUACGUUGUGCAUAAACCAAUGCGGGAGAAGCCAACUUGUCAAACAGGACCUGAAAGGAUGAAGCCAAAAAGGAACCCAACACGAUCCCUCCAAUGUCCAUAGAUGAAUCAAUCACUGUAAUGAACAACAAAGGUGUUAUGGUGAAGCAAAGUGAAAAUGAACUAAUGGAGAGAGAAAACUACGAAGUCCUAGGAAGACCAAGAUAUAUAUAUAUAUAUAUAUAUAUAUAUAUAUAUAUAUAUAUAUAUAUAUAUAUAUAUAUAUAUAUAUAUAUAUAUAUAUAUAAAAGACCAAGACUUUCAAGGGAUGCACAUCAAAGGUUAGACAAAUCAAAAUAAAAUACUAUUUGUCCACAAGUGCUAGUUACAUCAAUUGCUCUCCUUAUUCUUCGGAUCAAGACUUUUUGGCUAUUGGACCUUUACUUUUGGCCAUCCAGAACAGAGUCUUAAUAUGACAAACUUAGAGUGUAUGCAUAUUUUCGCCAUAAGUGUUAUCACUCACGAGUGUUUUGUUGGCUUUUUUAGCGUUUGCAUAUUCUUAGUAACCUCAUGAUUUCAAUGUCUUUGUUUUCUGCUUUAUUGAUGAAUGUGAGAUUAAUGAAGUCUUACAUGGGAGUUUCUGUGCUAAAGAUUGACAGUAAGAUGGGCAAUAAUGAUUUGUUGAAGGGUGCUGAGGUAGUGGUUGAUAAUCGGGAAUCGCCUUGAUAGGAGAAUCGCGAUCCUUUGAACACGAUUAUCAAGUUCAUUAGUGUAAUGGGUAGAGUGUGACAUCCGGUGGAUUAUAUGUUGUUAAUACUGGACUUGUUUACCAUUUACAGUGGAUAAGGAGAAUAGAAACACGUGCUUUAGGCUAAAUAAGGAAAAGGGUCAAGCACACCGACUAAUUCAUUAAGCUACUUGCUUUAUUUUACUCUGCAAAUAGUGAAUAGUCAGAAAUCACCAAAUGACAAUAUAAUCUACUGAAAAUUAUACUCUACCAAUCACACCAAUGAACAAGAAAAUCAAGUUCAAAGGACCAUGAUUCUCGCUUCAAGCGAUUCCUCAUCAUCAACUGCUAACCCCUCACCUUUCAGCAGAUAUUGCCGCCCAUCUUGCUGCAACUUUUUCUUUUUUUCACAAGUGCUUGUUCUGUAAUAUUUAGAGAUUAUCCCCGUACAUAUGUAGUAUCCACGAUCAUAUACUUGUUCAUAUAAAAAAUCAUAAACUCGGGAAGACCAAAACUUCACUGGGUAUCAUGAACUUUUUUGUCGUGAAAGUGAAGUAUAAUUGAUAAAGAGCUUAUGGGAAAGAAAAUUUAAUAAAAUCGAAGAAUACUAAGACUUACGGAGAUGCAAAUUGGAUUUGUCGCUUCACUUUUCAAAUCCCUUCUCUUGCGUUCCCAUGUGAAUGUCUUUUUUACAUUACUAGUAGUUUUCCACGCGUUACAUGGAUACCAAUUUUUAUUUUUAUUUUUUAUGCGUGUGAUUGACAAUUAGCAGUGAUUCUUGUUCUCUUGCUCAAAUUGACAAAACUAUAAUUUAGUCCAACUUUGUCAUUUUUAAUCAUAUUGUGCUUAAUCAUUCAUUACUCUCUGUUGUACUUGUCUGUUGGAAUUAUGUCUAGAUUUCCAUUUAUCUUUUCAAAUACAAGUCUAAUAAAUGGAAAAAGAACAAGAAAAAAAAACUAAAUAAGAAAAACAGCCAAAAACUGACGAAGAAAAAAAAAUGCAGGAAUGGGGCGAUAAUACCCUUUGUGACUCGCGGAGAGUUCCACUUCACAUUUUUGUUUUGUUUUGUUUUGUUUUUUAUGAAGAUGCAAUCUAAAUUUAUUAAUAUGCAAGAUAUGAUUUUCCUAGAUUUCCCAAGUUAUAGCAUGUGAUUUAUCAAAGGACAUGUGCAAAAAAGAGAACUAACAAUAAUGCACUCCAAAAAGCCUAGAUGCGCAUGAUAAUGCUUAUCCAUGAAAAUUCUAAGUUUUCUAAUAUAAUUGUCCUGAUAUGGAUAUAAUGCAAUUCUAUGCUAAUAUGUAAUGAAAAAUCAAAAAAUAAAGGUCUGAGUUUUGGCUCAAACAAUUAUGCGUGCAGAUGUAUCACCUGAUUAAAACAAAAUUAACAAAUCACCAUGAAUUAUGCAAUCAAGCUGCAACUUUAACCUGGCCAGCAAGUAUAUGGCAUCAACUUCCCCCAAUUUUGCUAUUAAACUUGCUGCAUCAGUUCAAGGGAAAAAGAGAGCAGGUAGAAAGAUGUCUUUUACCUAUUCCAAGUGGACUUCCUGGAGCUGACCAGGCGAAUGGGAUAAGAUCCACAACAGCAAUCCAGCAAGCACGAGCGCUAGGUUUGGCAGUUCACUGUACGCGUGCGUAUUCAGCUACGGCAAUGCGUGGUCGCUGCUUGCAACGACGAACGAUGGUAUUGAUGGAGCGACGACUAGAGAUGGUGGUGAUCGGCAACAAUCGAUAUGCAAGCAAGAAGUGAAUUGAAUGAGUGGAGUCUGUGGGCGUGAGUUUGAUGAUGAUGGUGGUGGUGGUGGUGGUGGUGGUGGGUGAAGAAAAAGUGAGGCGGCGUGGUUUUAAGGAAAGGAGCAGGAGAACCAAGAUGGAUUCUGUGGCGUCUGUUUUUCUCUCGGAGGUUCCCAUUUAUCUUUAUUUCUUUUCUUCUCUCUUUUUUUUUUUUAUCUGGGGAAUAAAUUCNNNNNNNNNNNNNNNNNNNNNNNNNNNNNNNNNNNNNNNNNNNNNNNNNNNNNNNNNNNNNNNNNNNNNNNNNNNNNNNNNNNNNNNNNNNNNNNNNNNNNNNNNNNNNNNNNNNNNNNNNNNNNNNNNNNNNNNNNNNNNNNNNNNNNNNNNNNNNNNNNNNNNNNNNNNNNNNNNNNNNNNNNNNNNNNNNNNNNNNNNNNNNNNNNNNNNNNNNNNNNNNNNNNNNNNNNNNNNNNNNNNNNNNNNNNNNNNNNNNNNNNNNNNNNNNNNNNNNNNNNNNNNNNNNNNNNNNNNNNNNNNNNNNNNNNNNNNNNNNNNNNNNNNNNNNNNNNNNNNNNNNNNNNNNNNNNNNNNNNNNNNNNNNNNNNNNNNNNNNNNNNNNNNNNNNNNNNNNNNNNNNNNNNNNNNNNNNNNNNNNNNNNNNNNNNNNNNNNNNNNNNNNNNNNNNNNNNNNNNNNNNNNNNNNNNNNNNNNNNNNNNNNNNNNNNNNNNNNNNNNNNNNNNNNNNNNNNNNNNNNNNNNNNNNNNNNNNNNNNNNNNNNNNNNNNNNNNNNNNNNNNNNNNNNNNNNNNNNNNNNNNNNNNNNNNNNNNNNNNNNNNNNNNNNNNNNNNNNNNNNNNNNNNNNNNNNNNNNNNNNNNNNNNNNNNNNNNNNNNNNNNNNNNNNNNNNNNNNNNNNNNNNNNNNNNNNNNNNNNNNNNNNNNNNNNNNNNNNNNNNNNNNNNNNNNNNNNNNNNNNNNNNNNNNNNNNNNNNNNNNNNNNNNNNNNNNNNNNNNNNNNNNNNNNNNNNNNNNNNNNNNNNNNNNNNNNNNNNNNNNNNNNNNNNNNNNNNNNNNNNNNNNNNNNNNNNNNNNNNNNNNNNNNNNNNNNNNNNNNNNNNNNNNNNNNNNNNNNNNNNNNNNNNNNNNNNNNNNNNNNNNNNNNNNNNNNNNNNNNNNNNNNNNNNNNNNNNNNNNNNNNNNNNNNNNNNNNNNNNNNNNNNNNNNNNNNNNNNNNNNNNNNNNNNNNNNNNNNNNNNNNNNNNNNNNNNNNNNNNNNNNNNNNNNNNNNNNNNNNNNNNNNNNNNNNNNNNNNNNNNNNNNNNNNNNNNNNNNNNNNNNNNNNNNNNNNNNNNNNNNNNNNNNNNNNNNNNNNNNNNNNNNNNNNNNNNNNNNNNNNNNNNNNNNNNNNNNNNNNNNNNNNNNNNNNNNNNNNNNNNNNNNNNNNNNNNNNNNNNNNNNNNNNNNNNNNNNNNNNNNNNNNNNNNNNNNNNNNNNNNNNNNNNNNNNNNNNNNNNNNNNNNNNNNNNNNNNNNNNNNNNNNNNNNNNNNNNNNNNNNNNNNNNNNNNNNNNNNNNNNNNNNNNNNNNNNNNNNNNNNNNNNNNNNNNNNNNNNNNNNNNNNNNNNNNNNNNNNNNNNNNNNNNNNNNNNNNNNNNNNNNNNNNNNNNNNNNNNNNNNNNNNNNNNNNNNNNNNNNNNNNNNNNNNNNNNNNNNNNNNNNNNNNNNNNNNNNNNNNNNNNNNNNNNNNNNNNNNNNNNNNNNNNNNNNNNNNNNNNNNNNNNNNNNNNNNNNNNNNNNNNNNNNNNNNNNNNNNNNNNNNNNNNNNNNNNNNNNNNNNNNNNNNNNNNNNNNNNNNNNNNNNNNNNNNNNNNNNNNNNNNNNNNNNNNNNNNNNNNNNNNNNNNNNNNNNNNNNNNNNNNNNNNNNNNNNNNNNNNNNNNNNNNNNNNNNNNNNNNNNNNNNNNNNNNNNNNNNNNNNNNNNNNNNNNNNNNNNNNNNNNNNNNNNNNNNNNNNNNNNNNNNNNNNNNNNNNNNNNNNNNNNNNNNNNNNNNNNNNNNNNNNNNNNNNNNNNNNNNNNNNNNNNNNNNNNNNNNNNNNNNNNNNNNNNNNNNNNNNNNNNNNNNNNNNNNNNNNNNNNNNNNNNNNNNNNNNNNNNNNNNNNNNNNNNNNNNNNNNNNNNNNNNNNNNNNNNNNNNNNNNNNNNNNNNNNNNNNNNNNNNNNNNNNNNNNNNNNNNNNNNNNNNNNNNNNNNNNNNNNNNNNNNNNNNNNNNNNNNNNNNNNNNNNNNNNNNNNNNNNNNNNNNNNNNNNNNNNNNNNNNNNNNNNNNNNNNNNNNNNNNNNNNNNNNNNNNNNNNNNNNNNNNNNNNNNNNNNNNNNNNNNNNNNNNNNNNNNNNNNNNNNNNNNNNNNNNNNNNNNNNNNNNNNNNCGGAGCAUUCGAUAUCGUUAUUUACGUGGUUCAGUCGUAAAGACCUACGUCCACAGGGAGAAUAGCAGCGAAUUUCACAAUAGACCAAGCAAUACAAGGAGAUUACAUACUCAGUGUUUAGCCAAGCCCCAAUUACACCCAAUAACGCACGCAGUGUUUAGCCCCGAAAUUCCUCAAGAAAUAAUCUUUCAAUCUCAUGAAGGAAUUAAACACAAAUUUUACCACAAGAUUUAAUUGGCUACAAACACUAAAUCUUAUUGGAUGUAAUUCACAGACAAGAACGACAAAGAAAAUCCCUCUCAAGCACUCGAUGAUGAGAUAGCGCUUCAAGACCAAUUCUUCACAAUCAACCCUCUUCCAUUAUGUGUGUGUGUGUGUGUGUGUGUGUGUGUGUGUGUGUGUGUGUGUGUGUGUGUGACCCUUAUUCUUUUGUCAACUUCUUAUAGGAUUUUGUUUCCUAUCUUAAACGGUUUUAUCCAAAACAUAUCUCUAUAUGUUUUAAACAAAAUCCAAAUCCAAGUGAAAGUUAAACUUUCCUAUUUUAGCGGCCAAACUCUCAAACGCAUAUUCAAAUUUGGAAAGUUGAUCUUCGGAUCUUCUUUGCUCGAUUUCAAACGUUCGCAACAUAUCCAAUAUGGAAUUUCGCAUUGGGCUUAAACUCGAGACAUAUUUUAACAAUCUCCACCUUGCCUCAACGUUUGAGCCAAGUCACAAUAACUUCGCAAAAAAUUCAAACCAUGCUGCCAUAGCCCCCGAUGGGCUCAACUGUCACAGAUAUUAUCCAAAUCCAAGCCUCGAUUGAACUUUGCCAUAAUCGAGGACCUCAUCAGAAUACUAACUCCACAUGCAUCUUUAACUGCUCCGCAAGGAUUUUCCAACGCAAUCUCCUCAACCGCAGAUAAAGCAAAACCACUAUUGCAUCCAUAUCUAUUAGGAGAUCGAAUACAUACUUUGUUAAUUUCAAUAGUUAUAGCAACUAUCAGCUCUAUAGACUCCACCUUGCUACAAGCACCAUCUGUGUCGAUUACUUUGCUAAUACUCGUACUCGCUACCUCGGGAGUUUCUAGUCGCAACUCCACCUCAAGCUAAACACCGUCCAGAUCUGUAUUAACACUGCCACAAACACUCCUAGCCAGAAAUAUUGGAGACUCAUCAAGGGUAACUUCUCUGUUGUUAACAAGUGAAUUCAUAUCUGGGCACCACAACCGAUCACCCCGCUCACCUUGUGCAUAGCCAUGAAAUAUGUACCUUGCCCUCCAAUCGAGCUUACCAUCACUCACUCGAAAAUAACACGGGUAACCAAACAUUUUAAUAAUAGAAUAACCAAUAACGUUACCUGACCACACUUCUUUAAGAGACCGCCAUUCAAUAACAGUUGAUGGGAAUCUAUUCACCAGACAAUUUAUUGUAUUAAGCACAUCAGCUAGGAUUCUCCUAGUAAUACCAACACUAGAGAUCAUUUUUCGGCCCGUCUCUAGUAAUGUUCUGCUCAUCAAUUCUGCAAAUUGUUGUGAUUUACUAACACUAGUGUGAUGUUUCACUAUGCCCUCUUUCAUGUAGAAUUUAUUUGCCAGCUUCAAGCAUAACUCAAUGCUAUUGUCAGUUCGCACAUGCUUGAUCGACUUACUAGUCUCUGUCUCGAUCAAAGCUUUCAACCGUGUGAUCCUAACACCAACAUCAAACUUAUGUAUUGGCAUAAACACCCAGGUCUUCCUCGAGCAGUCAAAAGACUCUCGAACAGAUGCAUCUGGCAUCUCCACAGCAAAAUUUGUCAUUGUCUCACCUUGAAAUUUAUACAAACUUCCAUGCUUAAUUCCUUUCAUUAUCACCAGGGCACCUCGAACAAUAUUCAGAACUCCACCUUUUGAAGAAUACCUACAACCAGCUGAAUCUAGAGCACCCAAAGAAAUUAAAUUCUUUUUCAAUUCUGAAACAUGUCUUACUCCAUUCAAUGUCCUCCGUGCAUUCUGAUUUUAACAUCACCAACACCCACAACAUCAUACUCAGCGUUGUUCCCUAAUUGGACUUUACCACUACCCGUGCACUAAUAAGUAUAAACUAGUUUUUAUUUGGUGUGACAUGAAAAGAACAACCAGAAUCCAUAAUCCAUCCAUCAAACGAUGAAUCACUGGAGAUAGACAAGACAUAAUCGGCAUUAUCUGCUACAGCUGCAGCAUUAUUUGCAGAAUCAACUAUAAUUUUCUUACCAUUCUUAUUCUUCAGCUUAAGACAAUUCCUUCUAAGAUGCCCCUUUCUUGCCACAGCUCCAACAGACAACAUCACUAGUCCUAGACUGACUACACCUAUUCAUAUUAGUACUACUCUUACCCACACAUGUUAUAGAUCUUCCUCUAUUUUCACCUACUAAAGUAGUAGAUACAGAUUUGCCAGAUUCUCUUCUACGAAUGUCCUCGCUCAGAAUUAAAUCUCGAACCAAUAAACGUUAAACUUGUUGACCCAGAGGAAUUACUAAUAGUAAAAACAGUAGUAUUCCAACUAUUAGGUAAUGAGGAUAACAGAAUCAAAGCACAUACUUCAUCUUCAAAAUCAAUCUUAACUGAACUCAAUUGACUAACAAUCACAUUUAAUUCAUUGAUAUAAUCUGCAACUAAUGCACCUUCGUUCAUCUUCAAAUUAAACAAACGUCAUAUCAAAUAGACAUUGUUAAUCGCGGAGGGCUUCUCGUACAUAUCUGAUAAGGUUUGCAUCAAAUCAUCAGUGGUCUUCUCCUUUAAGAUGUUAAACGCGACGUUACGAGCCAACUUCAGCUGAAUAACACCCAUAGCUCGUCUAUCCAGCAAAUCCCAAUCAGCUUACUUCAUCGUCUCUAGUUUCUCCCCAAAUAAAGGUAAGUGCAGUUUCAUUUGGUAAAGAUAAUUUUCAAUUUACAUGUUCCAAAAAGUAAAAUAUUUCCCAUCAAAUCUGUUGAUUCUCACUUUUACUUCUUCUGUCGCCAUCGAUUUGCUUCAACUUAGCCAAGCCUGACUCUGAUAUCACUUGUUGCGAAAGGCGAGCAAUCGAACAAUAAUAUAGACAGAAGAAAAUAAAUCGGACAACGGAUUUACAUUAUUCAGUCGUAAAGACCUACGUCCACGAGGAGAGCAGCAUCGAAUUUCACUAUAGACUAAGCAAUACAAGGAAAUUACAUACUCGAGUCACUCAAACACUCUUUCGGCGUUUCCCAAGCCCCAAUUACACCCAAUAAUGCACGUAUUGUUUAGCCUUGAAAUUCCUCAAGAAAUAAUCUCUCAAUCUCACGAAAGAAUUAAACGCAAAUCUUACCACAAGAUUUAAUUGGCUACAAACUCUAAAUCUUCUUGGAUUUAAUUCACGGACAAGAACGACAAAGAAAAUCCCUCCCAAGCACUCAAUGACGAGACGGCGCUUUAAGACCAAUUCUUCAUGAUCAACCAUCUUCCAUCCAUAGUCACAAGUCUAUAUAUAAGUGAGACUCUUAUUCUCUUGUUAACUUCUCAUAGGAUUCUGUUUCCUAUCUUAAACGAUUUGAUCCAAAACAUAUCUCUGCAUGUUUUAAACAAAAUCCAAAUCCAAGUGAAAGUUGAACUUUCCUAUUUUAGCGGCUAGACUAUCAAACGCAUAUUCAAAUUUGGAAAAUUGAUCUUCAGAUUUUCUUUGUUCGAUUUUGAAUGUCCACAACAUAUCCAAUUCGGAAUUUCGCAUUAGACUCAAACUCGAAACAUAUUUUAACCAAUCUUUAAGGCACUCAUUUGUAUUCAUCCGUCAAUUAUUAAAGGAUGAAAUGAAAAUGUUCACCAUUUUUCAUUCGAAAAAGAAGAGCAUUUAAGACUCAUAUGGUAUUAUUGAUUGUAUCAUAAAAUUAGUCCAUAGUAUUUUAAAUACUUUUAUUAAUCAUGUUUUAGUUGUAGGUUCUAAGAAUUAACAAAAGUCGAGAAUCUAAAUACGCACAAGCAGAACAUGUAAUGCGUGUGGACAUGGAAUGACUCAAGGUUUUAGCUAGAGAGAGAGAGAGAGAGAGAGAGAGAGAGAGAGAGAGAGAGAGAGAGAGAGAGCCAUCAUAUUAUGUCAAGUUGGAGUCUAGUGUCAUGGGCCAAUCGAUCACUCUCGAUCACUCAUAGGUUGACCCAUGUGACCCUAGGAUUUUACUCCUAAGCAGCCUUUCCCACACUCGACUCACAAGGAUCUUAGAGAGAGAAGCUCUGGAUUGUAUUUCACUUGUGAAUGAGAUAAUACAAUGAGGGGGAGGAAACCCCUAUUUAUACAAAGACAAGGCAAACCGUAUUCAUAGAUCUCUCCUCGAUCUAAUGAUGGAGAUUAUAUCUCCCUGACUACCAACUACCCACAUUUAUUACAUAUGAAUAUAAUUACCGUAUCGCCCACCCCUAGGAGUAUUCUAGAAGGCUCAAGAAAACCCUAAGUCUCGGGAAUACAAGCUACAGGUCGGAUGUGUCACGCCCGUUCCAUAGGAACCUCUUGGAUCAGCUUUCUUUCGGGCUGUGACAUUCUCCCCCACCUAAUCAAGCGACGCCCUCGUCACAUCUUCAGCAUGGAAAGCGUCGAUCUCCUUCUUGAAAUGCCAAAGACUCUCCCUGGGCUCCCAACUUGCUUCACUCUCUAGAAGACCCUUCUAUCGGAUCAAAUAUUCUCGCUUGGGCACGCGAUACUGCUUCCGUAUGAUUCGAUCCGCCGUGAUGCUCUCGACUUCUUGAUCAUACGAGGUUUUUGCUCUGAGUGGCACCCAUUGCGACUCCCCUCGAUUUGGGUCUUCCUCAUCAAACUGGAAAGGCUUCAGCAUACUCACAUGGGAAACCGGAUGUACCUUGAGCUUUGGUGGUAGCUCUAAUUUGUAUGUGGCCUUCCUAACCCGUUGCAACACAUGAAACGGCCCCUCGUGGUGAGGAUCAACCCCUUGUGCACGUCCUUGUAUCAAAGAACCAUGUGUAGCUUGGCCAGCACUUGGUCCCCAACCUGGAACUCCACAUGCCAUCGCUUUUUGUCGGCCCACUUCUUCAUGAGCUUGGAGGCUUUGUGUAGACACACCCUUGCCAAGUCGGCUUGCUCUUGCCAAUCCUUGGCGAACUUAUACGCGGAUGGACUACUCUCCCGAUAACCCGAAGCAAUGGCGCUAGGGGUAUUCGGUUGCUGCUCGGUUGCGAUCUCGAACAAGCUCUAGCUGGUUGACUUGCUCUGCUGCAAGUUGUAGGAGAACUAGGCUACCUCGAUCAACUUUGCCAAUUCACUUGCGUUGUACUCACAUAGUUUGAAGAUAAAUCUCCAAGAGUGCAUUAACCCGCUCCAUCUAACCGUCGGUUUGGGGAUGCAAACUUGUGGACAUAUUUAGCUCCGACCCCAGCAACUUGAACAACUUGGACCAGAAACGCCCCGUGAAAUGAUGAUCGCAAUCACUCAUGAUUGUUUGUGGCACUCCACAAUACUUAACCAUGUGUUUCAUGAAUAGCUUGGCCGCCUCCUUUGUCGAACAAUCCUUUGUCGUAGGCACGAAAGUCACAUACUUGGAAAACUUAUCCACCAUGACCAUGAGAGUCCGACACCCUUCGAACUUUGGCAGGUUGACGAUAAAGUCCAUAGAAACACUUUCCCAUGGACGAAUUGGAAUGGGAAGCUGCUCCAACAGGCCCAACCACGAUCGUUGCUCUAGCUUAUCUUAUUGGCACACCAAACAAGUCUUCACAUAAGCUUCCACAUUGUCCCACAUUUGCAGCCGGUAGUACCGAUCUUCGACGAGGGCUAAUGUGUAGUGGAUCCCUGGAUGACCUGCCCACUUCAAGUCGUGGCACUCGUGCAAGAUCUCCUUCCUUAACUUCCCAUAGAAGGGCACGUACAAAUGCCUUCCUUGGGUGUAAAGGAGCUCGUCCUCACACCAGAAUUGUCGAGUCCUACCUUCAUUUGCAUACCCAAUAAGGGCUUGACCUCUUGGAUCAUGCUUCAACCCCUCAUUUAUGCGGUCAACCCAAGGACAGCUCAUCGACUCACUGAGCUACUCAUCAGCUCCAUUUUUCAACUCAACGCAUCCGCCACGGAGUUGGCCUUCCCCAGCUUGUACUCCAAUGUGUAGUCGAACUCCACUAAGAAGUCUUGCCAGCGAGCUUGCUUCGGACUCAGCUUCUUUUGGGUCUAAAAAUAGGUCGUGGCCACGUUGUCUAUCCUCACAAUGAACUUUGAUCCCAGGAGAUAAUACCUCCACAUCCGAAGGCAGUGGACCACCGCGGCCAUCUCCUUCUCUUGAACGAUAUACCGGCGCUCGGUAUUGUUCAACUUGCGAGACUCGUACGCCACCAAAUGUCCUUCCUACAUAAGGACGCCACCAAUAGCAAAAUUUGAGGCGUCAAUUUCUAUCUCGUAAGGCUUGAUGUGGUUAGGCAACGCCAACACCGGCUCCUCGGUCAUGGCUUUUUUCAACCGAUCGAAUGCUCUUUGGCAUCGAUCCAUCCACUUCCACGGUUUCUCCUUCUUCAACAGGUCCGUGAGCAACACGGUGAUACUCGAGUAGCUCCGAAUGAAUCACCAGCAGUAGUUGAUGAGGCCCACGAACGACCUCACCCCCAUCACCUUUGUCAAUGGCUCCCAUUCGACGAUCGAUUGAAUCUUUGCUUUGUUCAUACGCACUUGUUCACCCCCAACAAUGUGCCCCAAAAAGGGGACUUCCUCUUGGGCAAACGCACACUUCUUGCGCUUAACAUACAGCUCAUUUUUGCGCAAGGCUUGGAAGACCUACUUUAGAUGCUCGACAUGCUCAUCGAGCGUCCGACUAUAGACUACAUAAUCAUCUAGGUAAACCACUACAAAUCGAUCUAGGAAAGGGUGGAGUACCUUGUUCAUGAGCGUACAGAAUGUGGCCGAAGCGUUGAUCAGGCUAAACGGCAUCACGAGAAACUCAUAAGAUCCAUACCGCAUCACGCAGGCUAUCUUCGGCUCGUCUUCUUCAGCGAUCCGAACUUGAUAGUAGCCAGAUCGGAGAUCCAGCUUGGUAAACCACUUAGCUCCACUAAGUUGAUCGAAGAGAUCCGCGAUGAGUGGAAUCGAGUACUUGUUCUUCAUGGUUAGCUUGUUCAAUGCUUGGUAGUUGAUGCACAUUUGAAGUGACUCAUCGUGCUUCUUUUGCAACAGGACUAGUGCACCGAACGGAGCUUUGGAUGGCUAAAUAUAGCCCACAUCGAGCAACUCCUUUAGUUUUCUCAUCAACUCUUCCAAUUCGGGGGGCGCCAUGCGAUAAGGCGCCAUGGCAGGCGGUCAAGCUUCAAGCACCAGCUCGAUCCGAUGAUCCACCUCUCUUUGAGGUGGUAGCUUCUUCAAAAACUCUGAAGGCAUCACGUCCUUGAGCGAGCCGAGGACUUGGGCUACCUCCGUUAGGACUUCCUUCCCUUCGCCCUUGUUGUCUUUAAUCUUCAAGGCAGCUAGGAUGGUCACUUCACCCUUCCUUGCCCCUUUGGUGAGUUGCAUAGCCGAGAUCAUCCUCCUAUCACGGUCCGAUUCACGAUGUACUGGAAUCACACAUUGACAAUGCUUGUCCAACACGCAUAUACACUCGGCGAAAGGCAAUAUAACAACAUGGAUUUUAUCUAGGAAUUUUAUCCCAAUGAUAAAGUUGCAGUCAUCAAGGAGAAUUACCUCUAGAGUCUCCCUGCUCUUCCAUGGCCCGAGUUGUAGCUUCACGUCCCUUGCAACACCGAUUGCAUGGAUUUUUCUUGGAGUUUACCGUCUUGAGCCACCCGACUCCUUUAUCAACCCGUAGGUUAAGUCUUUUCGCGGCUUGCUCCGAUAUAAAAAGAUCAGAGGCUCCCGUAUCCACGAGCGCACUCAUUGUGGACUCUCCGAUCUUCAGGUCCACGAACAUCAAACCUUUAGGCUCCUUCGCCUUCUUGGACUUGAUCGUGCUCAGGAGUUGUAGCGAACCUAACCACGUUUCCUCCCUAGGCUCAUCUUCCUUGCAAAGGGCGGCUAGCUUGGCCUUGUUCGGGCAAUCCCGCGCUAUGUGCAGACCAUGGCAAAAGAAACAUUUGUAUGAGCGUACCUUCCUUUGUCCUCCUCCGCUCAACUUCGCAUGAGCUUUGUAAGGACUAGCCAAUGGUCUACCUUCGAUCGGGCAGUUGUAUCACCCCCGAUCUCCCCCACAAGUGGCUUUGUUCCUCGGACACGAGUCCGAUCGGGAUGUGGAAAGCACCUUGUAUUCCACAAUCGAUUCGGCCAUGGUCAUGGCCGUCGUGAGAUCUCCCACAUUGCACCACUUCAACUCUUGCUUAGUCCAUGGUUUGAGACUACUCAUGAACUGGUGAUACGCUUCAAUCUCGUUCAUCGAAGGGAUUUGGAGUAGCAACUCUGAAAACCGCUUGAUGUAGUCGCGCGCACCACCCUUUUGCUCGAGACGCUUCAACUUGUGAAGAGCUUCCUCCUCCACAUAAGCAGGAAAGUAGUUCUGUAGGAACUCCUCGAUAAAUCUACCUUAGGUUGUGAUAAGUACCCCACAUCUAUCAUCUGACCAACGACACCACCACAACAAUGCAUUAUCGACUAAGUACAUAGAUGCAGUAUUUACCCGUGAUUGCUCGUCAUUAAUCCCCAUGGCUUGGAAGUACCGCUCCAUAUACCAGAGGAAAUUGUCCACGUCCUUGGCCACCCGCAAGCCUCGGAAAUCCUUUGGCUUCGGUGUGUCCACUUGUGGACCUUGCAUAGUGAUCACCCUAUUCAUCUGUGCAACUUCCAAUUCAGAAAGCUUACCCUUAAGCUCCGCUAUCUCCACGCGCAUGGCCACCAUCAUGGCCUUCAGGGGUUCGUACCGUUGUGUGAGUUAUUUCCGUAGGGUCCCUAGCAACUCGUGGUAGAGCUCUCCCAUGCCGGUCUUGAGCUCUUGCACCUUAGCAACGAGCUCCUCUCUUCCGGCGUCAACUCCAUCCACAGUUUGGGUCAGGUCAUCAACCAAUCAUUGGACAUCGAUAACAAACAACUCUAGCUUCGUCAUGCGAUGCGCAAGGUCCCCCGUUGGAUCCUUUGAACUCGAACCACCACGGGUCUUCUUCCCCUUGGCAGCAACCUUCUCGGUGUUCCUCCCACAAUCAACAUAGUCACCACCCAUGGCUUGCGCCUCAUCAAAUCGUGGAUCAGCUAUUGUGCUUGCGCUUGAAACAAACUCAGCUCCGAUACCACUUGUCACGGGCCGAUCGAUCACUCUCGAUCACUCAUAGGCUGACCCGUGCGGCCUUAGGAUUUUACCCCUAAGCAGCUUUACCCACACUCGAUUCACAAGGAUCUUAGAGAGAGAAAACCCUAGAGAGAGAAGCUUAGGAUUGUAUUUCACUUGUGAAUGAGAUAAUACAAUGAAGAGGAUGAGACCCCUAUUUAUACAAAGACAAAGCAAACCGUAUCCGUAGGUCUUCUCUUGAUCUAACGGUGGAAAUUACAUCUCCCCAAGUACCAACUACCUGCAUUUAUUAUAAACGAAUACAAUUACCGUAUCGCCCACCCCCAGGUAUUUUAGAAGGCUCGAGAAAACCCUAAGUCUCGGGGAUACAAGCCGAGGGUCGAAUGUGUCACGUCCGUUCCAUAGGAACCUCUUGGAUCGACUUUCUUUUAGGCCGUGACACUAUUAUGUAUUGCAUGAUCUUCCUUUCUUAAAGAGAAAUUCGUUUUUCUUUAUUUAGUGUGGAAAAUAAGCUAACUGGUAUCAAAUAUUUUCUAGACAAUGGAUCUAGAUUAUCUAUAAUUUUAGAAUUUUGAGGACAAUUCAACCUACUUAUUAUGAGUGAGCUCACAAAUUAGUAUUAUGCCUUUCCUCUAAUAUUACUUGAAGUGAAUUAGUAUCACAUGCCGGUGUAUAUACUAAUUAUAAUGAUUCUAGAGAAUUCAUAAUCACGCACUAUUAGAAGCCCGUUCACAAACUAUUUGAAAUUUGAACUUAGACCAUAUAAUGAAUUUGAAGCUGGACAUCUAUUGUUGCAAGAAUUCUGCAGCUAGCCAUCUCGUGCCAACAUAUGUCUCCCCAGUAGCUCUCGUGCAUCAUGGGGCCAAAAUCGCAUCAAAGGAUCGCUGCUUUGUCAAAGUUAUUGAAACCUAAAUUACUGAUGACAUAACCAACAAUGGCAUCUUAUUGUAUGUUUUGUAUUCACAAGUCAUCAAAGACAGUUAGGUUUGAUUGUUUGGUAAGGAAAACAAAAUCACAUGCUCUGGGUCAAAAGAAAUGGUCCCCUAUUUUAAGCGACAUCCAAAAGCCUUGAUUCGAAGAAAAAGGAGAACAAUAUAACUCGAUGACAUAAUGUGCGUCAAAACAUGUGCUCUCCAGUCUAGCUCAAACUUCUUGGAGUAUUAGAAAGACCAAGACUUUAUUGGGAAUCAUCAACUUUUUUGUGUGAAAAAUUAAGCACAAGGGAAAAAGUGAUAGUGGGAAAGAAACUUUAAUCAAUUCUAGGAAGACCAAGACUUUACGGGACACAAAUUGGCUUUACUGCUUCACUUUUUACAUCCCUCUUCUUCCAUCCUUAUGUUAAUGUCACUUUUUACAUUACUAGUAGAAUUUCCACACGUUACGUGUCUUCUUAAGAUUAACAAUACUAGAAAUAAGCAUAAGAAGGAAGCCAAGAAGGGACUCCAAAAGAUCUCUCCAAUGAUCAUGGGUUUACCAAUCAUUGAGAGAACAACAAGGGUUCUAGGUUCCAAGUUCCAUAACAUAUAGGGUAGGUUCCAAGUUCUAAAAAAUGAGAAACCUACCCUAACAAAAACCAUUGAGUCCUAAAACAUUAAACAAAGACAGACCAAAGAUUUUUUAAAAAAUAAUAAUAAUAAGUGUAUGGGAAGUCCGAAAACUUAUCAUGAAAGUACUAUUGAAUUUUAAAAUUUUCAAAAGAUACCCUAAAACUUGUCACAAAAAUAUAAUCAAGUCCUAAAAAUUUAAAAAAAUGCAAUCAAUUCCUAAAACUUGUCUUGAAAGUGCAAUUAAAUCUUAAAAUUUUCAAAAAUUGCAAUCAACGAAAGAACUUAAUUGAACCUAUUUGACAUGUUUUAAGAUUUAAUUGCAUUUUUUGAAAAUUUUAAGACUUAAUUCUACUUCAUAGCAAGCUUUUGGGGUUAAUUGUGUUUUUGAAAGUGUUAAAACUCAAUUGCACUUUUGUGGCAAGUUUUAGAACUUAUAAUGCACUUAUCCCUUUUUUUUUUUGCAUCCGUACAUUCUUAGUAGCCUUAUAAUUUCAAUAUCUUCGGUUAUUGUGUUAUUGGUGAAUAUGUGAUCAAUGUAGGCUUUUAUGUGGUAGUUAUAGUGCUAAAGAUUUGCAGCCAAACGGGCAACAAUGAUCUACUAAAGGGUAUUGAGUUAGUGGUUAAUGAUCGAGAACCAUUUGACAGGAGAAUCGUGGUCCUUUGUACAAUUUUCCUAUUCAUAAGCGUGAUGCCUAGCGUAUAUCUAGUACUUUGUUAGUUGGUGAGCCUGACCCUUUUUCUUGUCUAGCAAUGAAUGAAACUGACCACAAUUAAUAGGACUGACAAAUAAGCAUCUUUGUACAACUUGCACCGGCUAAAAUAAAUGUUGACAUUCCAUCUAACAAUUGCAUCUUACUUUUUAUUAUAGAUCCGCAAGUCAUCAAAGACAACUAACUUUGACUAUUCGAUAAGAAGAACAGAAACAAGUGCUUUGGGCCAAACAAGAAAAAGAGUUGGGUAGACCAACGAAUCCAUGAAGCAACUUGCUUAAUUUUUACUUCGGAAAUAGUACACAAUUCACAAAUCAUCAACUAAUCCAUCAAGCAAGUUCUCUUGGGCUAGCUUUUUUUAUUCAAAGGACCACGAUUUUCGUAUCGAGUGAUUCACUAUCAUCAACAACUACUUCAACACCCUCCGACAGACCAUUGCCGCCCACUUUGCUGCAAAUUGCUAGCAUUAUAGCUGCCAUGUAAAAGCCUAUACUAAUUGGCCAUUGCAGGAGAAGAAGGCCAAGAGGAUGAAGAGGAAAAAAAAAGGAAAAGGAAAAAAAAUAAUUAAAAAUUUAAAAAAAUUAUUUAAAAAUUGUCACAUUAGUGUUCGCCAACCGGCAAACAUCCACAUCAGCACUAGUUAGCCAAAAUUGGUCAAAAAGACUAGAUUAGUACCAAUGUAAAAAUAUUUAAGACUAAAUUGGUCCAAUCGAAAAGUUUAAGAUUGAAUUGGUACCAGUGCCACAGGUUUAGGACUUUUUUUGUACUUUUUCCUAUGAAGAAAUAUCACCUAUUAUCCUAUAUUUUGGAUUGCCACAAGAAAAGGUCAUCUCUUUCAAACGAUAGCCAAAAGUCUUGAUUUGAAGAAAAAUGAGAACAAUUGAUUUAUCUAACUCAAGGACACUGUGCAUCAAAACAUGGUCUCUUUGGUCUAAAUUCAAAUUGCUUGCCAUGAUGGCAGAAUGCAAUGAUUCAUCAGGAUUCUAAUGCAAAGCAUAGUGCAUUUGCAUUCACAAUUUGUUUGGGCAUCAAGCAGAGUUCAAGAUAUGAUAUGUCGUCCCACAGUUUAUUGUCCAAUGAAACAGAGCCGAUCCAACCCAAUGAGAACACCCACUCAAAUGUGAGUCUAACCUUUAGUGGCUAGUUUUUGGAAAUUCAUGGGAAACAUUUCCAACGGAAAAAUAUCAAUUUGUAUUACACAUUGAAUUGAGGAAGCGGAAUUGAAAUCAAAACCAAAAACUUACUUGAACCCUAGGAAACUAAUCAUACAUGGAUUCACUAGAGUUUUAAGCAUCGAUCUUUUAGAAUCUCACACCCAUCUAUGCGCAAUUCUCAGAGGGAGGGAGGGAGGGAGCCCAUCCUCUGGCAAGCACCUCAACUUUGGGCAAUCGUGAAGGUGUAAAAAUGUGAGAGGAAAGAUAGUUGCAAAGAAAGCUUGAUAGUCUUCCCACGUUCCUCAUUUUAAAUAUCCAAAGACAAAGAGGAAAGAAAGAGAAGACUCCACACAUCCUCUUCCUCCAAAGGAAACCAUACCUUCUCUCCUUCCCCUCCCAUGCUCAAGUCAAUUAACAGAGACUUGAGGGAUGUGAGCAUGGGUAAGCCCCACUCUCUCACUAUCUGCUUCAAAUUCUCACAUGCUAAAAUUGUAAGGUCCAACAAAUUGAAGCGAACCUCCUUUGGGGAAGCAUUUGAUAUUUUGGCAAUACAUAAUAUACAACAUAUGAAGGGAUACAUGAUGAUGCCACUGAUUUGGUAGAGACUUUAUCUUUGGACAAUUAUAGAGAAAGAAAUAUGACAGGGUGAUGGGAAGGGAAGGGAAGACUCUAUCUCCAAUGUCGAACAGUUACUUAUUUUCAAAAGAGUGAAAUGGGAGAGCAUGUUAAGACAAUGUGGUAGGCUUCCCAAAUUCAAACAGCUAUCAUAGAAUUCGGCAAUUCUACAACGAUCUCUUCCAGCAACUCCACUCCCUCACAAUGCCCAAUAAUAAGUGUCUUGACAGCAGCAAGUUGAGGCAUCGGAUUGCUAGUGAAGUCAUUUGGAGUAAUUGUUAAUAAUCCCACGAGUUUUGGAUACUUCUCAAUUAACAAAUCUUUGAGCGUGUGCAUCUUGCCUCGAAGCUUUUCUAAACUCGCACAAUCUCUCAAUUCCAUUGUUUCGAGGUUGAAAGGCAACUCUAUCUCUCCUUCUUCUGCCACAAAAGACAUGAAUUUAGUACAACUUUGGAUGGAUAAUUCUUGGUGGCAAGUAAGAUUUCGUGUUUCAUUUCCAUCUUGCCACAAGUAUGUUAGCUUGUCACGGCUUCUUAUAUGAAGCUCCUUUAGCUUGACCAAAUAGCUCAUAAUCUCGUGAUUAAAGCAAACAAGCUCUGCAAGAUUUUGAACCCUUACAAUGAUUAAAGAAGUUAUGUUGACCAAGCACUUUAAGAUCCCUCUAUUACAAUCCUUAAGGUAUAACUUGUAGAGAAAUGGAAGACAAACCGCACUAGUUGAAUUUUUCAAAUGUGGGCACAAAUGGAUUUCAAGCUUUAUGAGAUGAUCAAGUUGACAAAGCAAUGUUCCAACCAACGAAUGACAACUCCGAACAACAAGAUGCUAAAGACAGGAGAAUGGUACUUCUUCUUCUGGACCCCCGGCAUAACGAGACCAAUCAUUCCAUGCCAACAUCUCUUCAAACUUCAAAGUUGUUAAGGAUGAGAAAGGCCAUUCACCUCCAUAAAAUGCAAAGUCUAUCAUUCUUACCGCAUGUAGACCAUUAAGACAUAAUUUCUUAAGUAAAGGUAGUUGUCCAAGUUGGGGUAGCGAUAUAACAUUAGGACAGCCCCGUAAGCACAGAGACACUAGCUUACAAUAGAAUGGACCAUCCAACCAUGACGGGAAUAUUGCACCACCAUAAUAUGAGAUGGUGAGAUUUUCAAGAUUAGUGCGAGGUUGCAAAGAGUGAAGCACCUGUGCUUCAUGCUUAUCUUUCCACAGAUUUCCAAAAUCUUCACUCCAAUGCAAGAACAUGUUGCUAAGUCCUUGCUUUCCAAAAAAAAUUAGCAUCAACAGCAUCUCUAGCUUCUCGAACUUUUUGCAAUUCUGAUUUAACUAAUUCUCUUUGACGAUAGGACAAAUUCUUCAACUCCUUUAACUGUAACCCUUUCUUAGUUCCUACAUCGAAGUUAGGCAAGACAAUAAGAUUUUUCAAAUUACCAAUACCGAAAGGCAUCUCAUUUAGACUGUGUGUAUCUCUAAUGUCAAGAAACUAUAAGCUCACCAAUUUUGUGAUACCUAGAGGCAACAUAAAAAGCUUUUGACAACCUCUUAAGAUCAAAGCUUGUAUUUACAUAAGGUGACAAUUGAAUUAGGUAGUCUUUUGAUGUCUGUGUAUGAGAAAUUGAGAUAUCAAAGAUAUUUUAAAUCACCAACACAAUUCGGUACCUCUAUGAUGUCACAAUGACAUAAUGAGACCACCCUCAAGUACUUUAAUUCUAUUAGCAAGUCAUACAACACCUCAUUGGAAAUGUAGAACUUAUUGCCCCCUCUAGAUCCCAUUUGAAGUAGCAUUAAACUUCUUAGUACCUUCAUUCGGUAAGACGCUCUCAAGCAUUUUGAUGUAACAGACCACGACGAGAUGAAUGAUGCAUAACAAGCUUUCACAAGAGAUGCAUUGUCUUCAUUUCCUACUAGCUAAGACUCCCCUGAGCUAAAGCAUGUCCCACCUACAAUUGACUUUGCUAGAUCAUUCAAAAAAUCAUGCAUUGAGAACUUAGAUGCAAUGACACUUGAUUCUUGAAGAAAUGAUCUGCAUACUAACUCAUCGAAGUAAUUCCAUCCUAAUCUCAAGUUAUUCUCCUUUCUUUUUUGUCCAUCUAAAAAGCCCUCCACUAUCCACAAGAGUACUAGCUCAUCCCUCUUAAUUUUGUAAUCCUUGGGAAACAUUGCACAAUAAGCAAAACAUCUCUUCAAAUAACAGGGAAGAUGGACAUAGCUCAAAUUCAAAACUAGGAAAACCUUAUCAUUUUUUCCCACAAGAAUAUCCCACAUUCUAUUAUUUAAGAUAACUUUCCAUUCAUCGAGAUCCCCUUUAUUAUGCAGGAUACCACCUAACACCUUCACUGCCAAGGUGAAACUUUACAUUUUUCAGCUCUUUUCUUGCCUAUUGUAGCUCAAAUUCAAAACUAGGAGAACCUCAUCAUUUUUUCCCAUCAGAAUAUCCCACAUUCUAUUAUUUAAGAUAACUUCCAUUCAUCGAGAUCCCCUUUAUUAUGCAAGAGACCACCUAACACUUUCACUGCCAAGGUGAAACUUUACAUUUUUCAGCUAUUUUCUUGCCUAUUGUUUCAAGAUCAAGGUGCCUCUCAAAAUUUGUUGCCCUAAGAGCAUGAAGCGCUAAUAAGCUUGUACAAUUAUCAAUGGACAACUCCUUCAAAGGAUGGGGCGAAGCUCAUGUUAAGGAAACAACCGAACUAUUUCGAGUCGGGAUGAUGAUCUUGCUUCCCUUAGCCCCCACUUCAAAUGGCUUUAAGAGGGCAGUCCAUUCCCCAUACCCAGACAUCAUCUAAAACCACAAGAAACUUCUUCCCUGAUAGACUAUCCUUCAACUUAACUUGAAGCUAGUUGAGAUCUUUGUCCUUGCAUGACAACUUAGUGAUCAACUGCAAAAUAGCCUUUGUUAUGUUGAGAACAUCAAAAACAUCCGAAACACAAACCCAUGCUCUUCUCUCGAAGUAGCCGCUUGCAUUGGCAUCAUUAUACAGCCGUUGAGCCAAGGCCGUCUUUCCAACACUACCCAUCCCAACUAUGGGGAUUAUGCUCAACAUGGCAUCAGAAUUUUCAACUUCACCAAUCAAUAAUUUGAGUAUCUUCGCUUCUUCCUUCUCUGUGCCAAAAAAACGAGUCUCUGAUAGACAAAUGUUGUGGGGCCUUUUGUUGGUGAAGUCAGUUCUACCCACAACAUUCUCUGUCAAGCUUAGAUAAGCCAUCUUGGCAACAAUGUCCUCCAACCUGCCAUCGAUCUUCUGAACCUUAGUUUUAGACACGAGCAAGCUUGGGUUUGGAUUGGAUCUAGAAGAUUUAUGUUGGCUAAACAAAUAGAACUUCACUCACCUCCACUUGUGCUAGAUUCUACCUCCAACUUGGCCUGAGCAGCUUUGAUGGCAAACUCAUCAAGCAAGUCUUCCAUUUCAUAGGCCAGAUCCCUAAUAUCGUCCAACCAUAGCUUCACUAAACCAUUACCACUCAAGUGCUUGUCCUCUACAUCAUCCAGCACUGCAUUGAUUGUGUCCAGCAUCUUCCCCCAUUUAUUGAGCAAGUCGAUGCUAAUUCCAGAGAAGGGCAAUGCUCCUUCCCUUUGCAUAUAGUCUAGUCCCAAAGAAGCCAGCUUCUUGAAUAGGACCUAAAGGAAGGCACUCAAAAGGAUCUCCCCAAUGGCCAUGGGUGAAUCCGUCAACUGUAGAGAACACAGGUUAUGGUGAAGCAAAGUGACAAUGAGCUAAUGGAGAUAUAAAAUGGGUGAAUGAGUCAUAGUAUAUAACAGCAAGGGUUAUGGUGAAGUGAAGCGAUGGCGAGAAAGACUUUCACCUCCCAAAAACAUUAAACAAAGACCAAGACUUCCAAGGAUACACAUCAAUGGUUAGAGAAAUCAAGGUAAAAUACUUUUUGCCCAAAACUUCUCCUCUCUUAAUGUUUAGAGAUUAUCCCCAGAUAUCUUAUUCGAAGACAAAGACUUUUUGUUACACAUCUACAAGUUAUCAGAGGCAGCUAACUUUGUAUAUUCGAUGAGGAAAACAAAAGCACGCUCUUUGCACUACCAAUUUACAAGUCAGGCACACUAAUUAAUCCAUUAAGCAGCUUGGUUUAUUUUAAUCUGGAAACAGUAAAUGAGUUAAAAAAUCACUAACGAAUAACAUAUAAUCAAUGGAAUAAUAACUAUCUAAGCAUCACAUUAAUGAACAGGAAAGUCGUGUUCAAUCCCUAUGUGGGAACGAAACUUCAAUGAAAUCCAGGAAGACCAGGACUUUGCAGCACGCCAAUUGGGUUUGUUGCUUUGCCUUUCACAUCUCUCCUCUUCCAUCCCUAAGCGAAUAUCUUCUUCUUCUUCUUUUCUAUUGUUUGAUGCUAAAAGUUUAGUUGGUCCAGGAAAAUAAUUUCCACUGAGAGGAAAAGCCAUGCCUCAAAAUUGAGGAGAAUAAUUUCAGAUCAUAAAAUCUAAAAUUGCUGCUUACCCCUCUCACUAUCGCAGACCAAUUUCAUCAUCAUCCGUCUCCUCUCCUCUGCAAACACACGCAAAUGCCACCCUCCCAUUUACACACCAUCAUCAUCCACCGCCGCCAUCGAUCACCAAACAGACCCAAAUCCCCAACCCCAUUGAACCCUCCUUCAAAACCAUUCCCAACCGCAGUAACAAGCACCACCACAGACUCGAUCACCACGACCGCCACCGCCACCGUUCACAGCCAGCAAAAAUUCAGGAAAAAAGAAAAAGAAAGCUAGGGCGGAGGAAAUUUCACCAAUCGGAUGGCCAAGUAAUCGAAAAAUGUGGGUAGGAGGGGCUUCUCGAGCUUUUCAGCCACCUAGUCGCCACCAUUUGACUUUGUAUUCUGUGACUACCAUGGCUGCGGUGUGAAUGAAUGGUGUUUAGCUUUUCACGGUGCCGGGCAGAGAAGAAGGGAUAAAAGAAAGUGGUAAGAAGAAGAAUAGGAGAAUGUUGGACCAAAAAUGUGAAGAAAUAUUUGGUCCAAACCACUUUCCCUGCCCAAAAAGAGAAUGAUAUCUAAUUUUCUAUCCGAACAGCAUAAAAUAAAUUUUUUCAUUUUCAAAUUUCUACCAAAUGCCAAAAAAAAAAAAGCAUUUACUCAAAAAUUAAUUCUAAGAAACUAGUUGAAAAUAUUAAAUUUUCAGUUAAUCAAGCACAGCCCUAGUUAGUUGAUAAUUGCUUUCUUCAAGUAAUAUCAAUAUUAUACUCAUAGGUGUCUAUAUGAAAAAUAACUAAAGACCAUUUUAUACCACUCAAAAUAAUAAUUAGGCCCUAGAACUUUUUUUAAUUCCCUAUUUUUGGCCAAUUGCGAUCAUUAAUACAAAAAUUUCAUAUCCAAUCACAACCAUUUUGGACUCUUCAAGUUCCACUUGAAGUUUGUUUUUUUUUUUUUUUUUGGUUCUAUUCUAUUCUUAUUCUAACUUUCGCUCCUGAAAUUAAUUCUUCCCCACCCCAAUGUCCCAAGAAGGUGGAGAUUCGAACCCUCCACCUCUCCCUUCCAUGUUAGAGGAACGGCCACUGGGAUAAACCUGAGUGGUUUCGCCUGAAAUUUGUUAGUGAGAAGGAAAAUGGGAAUAAAUAAAGAAUUUGUGAUGAGAAAAUCAACUUGUCCCCAUUAAAAAUUAAUUUGUCAUGUAAAUAAACAAUUAUAAGAGUAACUAGACAAACAAAUUGUAUUCAUACUCACACAAAAGCAACCAAAAACCUACGAACAAGACAUAUCAGGAUACUUCCUAUUCCAAGUCUCAUAAAUGGGUGACCCUUUAGAUCAUUUUGUUUUUUUUUCUUGAAUGGCCCUUUUGAUUAUAUUAAUGUAGAAUUAUGGGAGACUAUAGAUGGUGACCUAAUGGUAUAACAUGAUGAUUUCAUAAGUGCUGGGUCACAAAGAUAACCCACUGACAAGGUUAGCGACGUGUAUCUUAUCUUGUCUACAACAGGACCUCAAGUGAUUUGGUGUGCUUCUUGUAACUGGACUUGUCUAUGCAAGAUAAUUCGGUUGCAAGCGGUAUUGGAUGACAACCUUCUCACAGUUCUAUAUUAGAAUACCUUAGGGCAGGCGUAAGCAUUUUUAUGAUAACUCAAUAGAGCCAUAAAGCAUUUAAAAAAAAAAAUCAGGGUAAUAAAGCAUGGUCACCUUGAAUGCUACUCUCCAUCCUUCCUUUACAACAAAGAAAAAGAAAAUGUGGGACUGGGACCGAUAAAACCGUUGGUAUGAGAUUACGUGGGAAUUUAAAUAGAAGAAAGAUGGGUUGUGAACUUUAGAAAGAAGUCAUAUUUAAAUGGAUUAUAAUCUUCAGGCUUAAUUCGAAUUUAGCUAUUAGAUUCGCCAACUCGAGAACCCCUGUUUUUGCAUCUUUAAAGUAGCUACUGUUUAAAAAAAAAAAUAGCUGCCGAUAUUAGAGGUAAGAGAGAUUCUUAGAUUGGCUUUGAAUGUAGACCUCAAUAAUCGACAUCAUCAUAUAGAUUAAUCUUAAUUAGAGCACGUUACCGCCAAAUGUCAACGUUGGACCGUCAGUAGCUGGUUCGUGGAAAUUAAUGUGGAGAAUGGCCAUGGAAAAACAUGAACUUUUUUGCAUUGAGAUGUGGAAGAAAAAUUGAAGUCUGAAUUGUUACUUGAUGUAAAUAAUCAAAUAGCGGAGAGAAAUUUUCUCUUGGGAUCCGAACUCAAUUAAUUUCAAUGAGUGUGAUUCCUUGGAUGAAAUACCAAUAAUCGCUAAUUAGUUUUCAAUUAUUGAUAUUUUGGAAUCUUACAUUGAAUUUUGUGGAAUACUUAAUGGGGGAGGUAGGGGAGCCAUCCUCUCACAAUUACUUCUAAACUUAUAGAUCUCUAUCUUAAUCUAUGAUGUAGGUAUCAAUUUUAAGUUUUUGAAAUCUAAACUUAUCUCACGAGCAUUUUGAAGUUGCUUAAAAUCUGUCGGUUUUAUGAGUUUCAAGCUACCCUUUACUACCUCACUAAAAAUGGAUCGUAAAAUGGAUUUUCAAUUAAGUAAGCUAAAAAAUCUAAAAAGAAAACUCAAAGUUUUGUUUUAUUCUAAAUAAUUUCACCACUGUUUUUGAGCAUCUUCAAAGAAGAUCAGAUAUAUAUCCUUUUAUAUUUGUGGGCACACAAAAAUAAAACUAGUAUCGGUAAAAGAUAAAUUAUACUUUCUCUUUUUAUUUUUGAUAGGAUUUGCACGGAUUCAAAAUCAUAAAUGCUAAUAUUGUAUCUCGAAUUUGACCUCAAAAAAGAAAUCUAAUCCAAAUAAACUUUCUGAUUUGAGUGGAUUUUAUAAAAGGGAAAUAAUUUUUAUGUACAAAGUGGGUCUUCUUCAAGAAAAAUAUCCAAGACUAGCUUUUUGUACAAUCAAUUACGUAUUACAUUCCUAAGGAAUUAAGUGUACUGAAGCAAAUUAAUUUUGUGGUAAGAUCUGUGCAUAAUAUCACAAGAGGAGGAGGAGGACAGUUCACUCCAAUUCCAACCAACCAAAACCCCACGAAACUGGGAGACAACAAAAUAAAAUAAAAACAGAAGCCAUCGGAAUUUUCGAGGAAAUUAAAGUUGAAACCUUUUAUCUCUAUUUUAAUGGCAAUCCUUACAACCCUCUCCUUCUCCGAACUGCCCUCCCCGAAGAUCCCACCUUUCUCCUCCAUCUCCCGCUCCCCUGCUCUCCUCAUCUCGUCCCGCAUUCGCAGGAACUCGUCCAACCUCGUCGCCCGGCACCGGAGGCAAGCCCGCCGGAAGAACCCGCCGGAGCAGCCGCGGCCGCCGCCGGGUAACGACAUGUCCACCGCCGUCCAGAUGCCGGCGGCCCCUCGCCGGUGGGAGGAGGAUCAUGACCGGUUGCUGAAUUAUAUGGGUAAAUUUCAUUGCGUCGAUUUUUUCUUACCCAAUGAUUGUUUUCGCCAAUUUACCCCAAUCGUGGACGCAUUUGUUUUAUCCUUGAGGAAUUUAUGGUGUUUGAUUGAGCGUAGGUGGAAGAUGAUGCUUGAAUUUCGGAUGUUUGUUUGGUAACCAAUUAUGGGUUUUGCUUAUUUGGGUUUAUGUUGGUCUGAAGGACUUGUGAGUCUGCUUGACGUGACGGUGGCAACGAAGUUAUUGUGGGUUUAACUGGUUAAGUGGUGGUGGGUAUAAUUCAAUUCAUGCUGCGGUAGAUUGGUCCUCUUGGCCGAUCAUCUUUGCUCGUGCUCAUCUCUGAUUCAAGUUGAGCUGAUCUGUUACCCGUCUGGUCUAGUUGAAGUUGCUCAAGUAGAGAUGAAAGUGUUCUUUGAGCAUUGUAAAAUACCGUUCGAGUGAAGUGAAACCUGCUGAAAUAUCGAUUUUAUGGGCAAAUAUGUGCUGCUUCUUGGUUGUGUGGAGAAUGCAAGCGCAUCAUCUCAACUGCUCAAUCUUUUCGAACAUGAAAAAUGUGUCGGCCUGUGAAGUGAUGGAGCUUCACAACUUACGUUGGAAGUGGACUCCUCUGUGAAGGGUCACUGACCUGAAGUGGCUUUUUUCCUCGUUAUUCAUUUUGGCAGCUGUCGAAUUCUAGUCAGGAACAUAAUUAGCUUGUUGCAAUCAUUUCUCAAACAUUAUCCAUAAAAGUGUGAUGCUGCUUCCCUAAUGCCACUACUGCUCUGAUGCUGUUUUUUCCUUAUCUGUUUCCGUCGGUAAUUCAGGGGCAGGAAAUGGGGAUACGUUGACAGCGAAUGAUGACAAAGAAACAAGCACUUCCAGUAGAAAUGUUCUUCGCAAGAAAAAAAGCUAUACAAGUUCUAUAAAGUUUUUUGGGGUCGACUUGUCCCCAGACAAUAUUGCUGUUGCGAUGGUUUAUUUUGUUCAAGGUGUCUUGGGGCUUGCAAGACUCGCUGUCAGUUUUUAUUUGAAAGAUGAUUUGCAUCUAGAUCCUGCAGAGGUAUGUCAUUGUUCUUUUAGGAUUCUUAACGAAAAAUUAGAUUUCCUUUGAGAACAUUCAAUUCGUAUGUUCCAGCAGUAUGAAGAGAGAAAGUUGUGAGUUUCCUCUGAUAGUCUAUACCUCUGUGCUUUCCUUAAGACUUAGGAAGAUUUUCUUGUCUGUUAUGGGCUCUGUUAGUCUUGACUUGGCCAAAUCAUUAGCAAAUAUAUAACUGCUUCUUAAUAGCAAGGAACACCUUUUUAAGCAGCUAAUCAGCUUCCAUUUGUUCUGAUACUUAUGAGGACUAAUACUCUGUUUGCGGUUGACUAGACAGCUGUGAUAUCUGGUUUUUCUGCAUUGCCAUGGCUCGUAAAACCUCUAUAUGGGUUUAUUAGGUACAUUUUCUCUUUUAAUCUUGUUUUAACCGCAUUUGUUUCUCAUAAGAAUUGCAUCUAUUUUUAAUUCUAGAAAAAAUGUUCACACACUGGAUUGUUGUUGCAGUGACUCUGUCCCACUUUUUGGUUACCGAAGAAGAUCAUACUUGGUUUUAUCAGGGCUUCUCGGAGCACUUUCAUGGAGUUUAAUGGCCACCUUUGUUGAUAGCAAAUACGGUGCAGCAUUUUGCAUACUGCUUGGAUCUCUCUCUGUUGCCUUCUCUGAUGUUGUAUGUAUCCACCCUUAAUUCCAUACUUCCACAGAAAUUUUGUUUUUUGGCCUCCAGAAAUAACUUUCUGUGUAGAUGCCUAUGAUUUUCUAUGACGGCUGAAAAUGAUAAAUUAGCAAAAGAAAUGGUUUAAUGCCAGACGUAGGACUCUGGAAACUGGGUAUCUCUGGAUAUUGGCGGUUGAAUUCAUACGAUUUUAUGAGAAUCUAGCGAUUGGUUGCAGGAUGCCUUAAUAUUUUUUCCUUUUUCUGAGCAUGAAAGGGCUACACGGCUAAUCCAAGAAUCUCUUUUCUUAGCUACUUGCACAAAGGGAAAUUACACUGCAUUGAGAUUAGACAACGCAUAUUGCUAGCAUGUACUUAACCUCUUUUUCAUGCGAAACUAUAGUGGAGUUGAGUUGUAACGGAAUGAGCAAGUAUGCUGGGCUUAAAUUGAACCUCCUUGUUCAUAAAAAAGGUCAUGUCUUGACCAGCUUUCUCAUAGCAUAAUCUGUCAGAUUUGUUUCCACUUUCUUGUCACUCUUACUAUUUGGGUUUUCCACCUGAAUGUUCACAAUCGAAUCUAUCUUAAGGAGAUAAUUAGCUUUAAGUUGAAUAUUUGCCAGUGUUGUUUCCUCUGGAUACAUACAAAUCAUGCCAAAUAUUGAAGUAUGCUGUAGGUUGUGGAUUCCAUGGUUGUGGAGAGGGCCCGUGGUGAAUCACAAAGCAUGGCUGGAUCCCUUCAGUCCUUAUGCUGGGGAUCGUCAGCUUUUGGUGGAAUUGUGAGCUCUUACUUUAGUGGGUCCCUUGUGGACUUAUAUGGAGUGAGGUGCUCAUUUUGAAUUUUUCAUUUGUUGGCAAACUAAUAUUGAUCUUUGCUCUGGUUGCACUUCAAGCAACCUUCGCAACUUCUAAAAAACUGAAUUUUCCCAUGUCAAUCUCGUGUCCCAGGUUUGUAUUUGGUCUUACAGCCCUGCUUCCUCUGAUAACAUCUGCAGUAGCUGUUCUUGUUAAAGAGCAGCCAGUGGUUGGUUCAGUAAGAGGACUGAAACAGAAUCUUCCUCUUGCCGACGCUGGCUUUCUGGAAAAGUCAAAAGAGGAUAUUAUAAAGCUUUGGGGUGCGGUGAAGCAACCCAAUGUACUUCUCCCCACAUUAUUCAUCUUUCUUUGGCAGGCUACACCACAAUCAGAUUCUGCUAUGUUUUACUUCACGUAAGUUCAGAAGUGAUUGGUCUUUUUGAUUCCAACACUGCUUUCUAGACGAAGGAGGAUUCUCAUAUAAUGGCAAUUUUGAUAACAUUUUUGUGAAUUCAGCACAAACAAACUUGGUUUCACUCCGGAGUUUCUUGGACGAGUCAAACUUGUCACUUCUGUUGCAUCACUUCUUGGUGUUGGACUCUAUAAUGGAUUUCUGAAAAAGGUUCCACUACGGAAGAUCUUUGUUGUGACAACAGUAUUCGGAUCAGUGCUGGGAAUGACACAGGCAAGUGUCAUGCUUGUUUUUAGUUAAGAUUAAGCUGCCCUGAUUCCCAGGCUUGUUGCAUCACUUGCUUUCUUUCUUUGUUAGGUUUUCCUUGUGACUGGCUUAAACCGUCAAUUUGGUAUAAGUGAUGAAUGGUUUGCAAUUGGCGACUCCUUAAUAUUGACCGUUCUGGGCCAGGUAAUUAGUUUCUAAUAUAUUCAAUUAUGCUGGUGUAUCUUAAUCAUGCACCAUUUCCGCACAACCCAGUGCACUUAGCCCAUAAAUAAUUGUGUGCUAGGUCAGUCAGACUAGAAAUACAGGUGUCAACCACAUAUGUUGUCCUUGGUGCUGGUCUAUUGCUCUAAAAUGGGGACUAUGAUAUAGGCUAAUUAGUAUAAUGUUUUAUAUGAAGGUCCAUGGACAUGAACAUAAGAAAUUAUCAUGAUGCUAGUCAGAGAAUUUGCAGUUUUGGGAUAUUCUCUUUUCAGUGAAAAAUGGAAUUCAUUCAUUACUUUUUCAAAUUUUUAUUAUGAAAGUUGUUGAAUUAUAGGGCCAAAUACGUUUCUUGAGAUUUCUAGGGCCAAUAUGUAGCAUUCUAACAUAUCUCUCAAAUCCAUAUUAUGUCAUUUCGAUAUUGGAAGUGCCUCCAAUAGAAGACUUGGGUUGUAAGAUCACUUAUUUGUACAUAUUUGUGCAGGGCAACCAGAUUUUUGUGACUAAAAUGUCCUAAUAUGGGGCACAAACACUGUUUCCUCUUGUAUCUUGUGCUGCUUCUGAGCUUUGUUUUCUUUGUUAGAUUAUUGUACAACCUUCUAGUAUGAAUCUUCCAAUGUGAGACUUCCAUGUGACAGCAUCAGCUGUCAUGCUACAAUCGAAGGAAUAUGUGUUAAUUUAAUUGCUUUCACACCAGUGCAUUAUUCUCAUCCUCUGGUGCUGACUGCUGACUUAACGAACUAGUGAUUUAUCCUACUGAGUCACUAGAUAAGAGAACACACUUUAAAUAUGGAAAACAGGAAAAGGAAUUACUAUUAGGCGGAAGUUUUUUUUUUUUUUUUUUUUUGAGGGGGGGUGGGGGGGUGGAUGACAAAUUUUCUCAUAUAACAUGAUUAUAAUGUUUACAUUGUAAAUUACUAUUUUGUCCAUUGUUUGAUAAUAUGUAAUCAGUGUUUGUUUUCUUAGAAUGCAUGGGUAUAUUGUGGAAUUUUUUAGGAAAAAGUUUGAGGUUUAAGGCUCCUUUCGGGUUUGCUUUAAUAUAUAGAGAUUGGAGAGAUUAUUUAACCCCUUAUUUUUGCAUUGUAGGCUUCUUUCAUGCCUGUCCUUGUCCUGGCGGCAAGACUAUGUCCAGAGGGAAUGGAAGCUACAUUGUUUGCUACUCUCAUGUCCAUAUCCAAUGCGGGGAGCGUGUUAGGUGGGCUUAUUGGUGCUGGGCUGACACAGCUCUUUGGUAUCACCAAGGACAGGUUUGACAAUUUGGUCUUUUUGAUAGUGCUGUGCAAUCUCAGCUCGUUGUUGCCCUUGCCUCUCCUAGGCCUCCUUCCGCAGGAUGAUUUUGACACGACCUUGAGCGAGGAUGAAGAUAUUGAGAUGAAGUCCAACUGAGUGGUUUGUGCCAAUAAGUUUUUCUAGUUUGGGCACAGUCUCUCUUAGAUUAUUCACCUUACUGUAGAAUAUGCACACACAGAGAGAGAGAGAGAGAGAGAGAGAGAGGAUCACAAGUAUCCGCAGUCAAGGGCAAGUUGGCUGGAACUACAGCUACCGCUCAUUCCAAUCUGUAGUUGUGAAGCCACUCGUCCUCCAAAUGCAGCUGACUUUUUCAAAAUCUGGGUCUAACUGUAGUAAGUGGAUUGCAAGGUUCUAUUAGGCCCAAACUCUCAUAUAUUCAACGUCUCAGCAGCAGGUGCUUGAAGUAAAAUACUGGGCGAGUUCACCUCAUGCAGUAAGAAAGCAUGACACUUUUCACUACAGAAUUGUGUGCGCUAAAUCGAUGCAGCUUUCAGAUUUUCAACUUGCAAAAUAUGCCGUUCACAGUGCAUAUUCUUCUAUAAUAGGAAAGUUUCAGAUUUUGGAACAAUUAGGUUCGCAAUCAAUUUGUCUCAUUGCAGUAUGAUAUUGUCUCAUUGCCUAUGCUUUGAACUGCUGAGUCCUCGAAUGUACGCUUAACAGAUAGAACAGGUAAAAUAUCAGUCAUUUUUCUUAGGAAUAGAGAGAACGUGGAAACCAUUGGUAGCUGGGGAAAUAGUGGGAACAGAAGCUUUUAGCUUCUGGAAAAUCAUGGUUUAGACUUCAAACAGUCAUACUUCUCUAUGAAAUGACGUUGCCAGCCAAUUUGAGCGGUCCGAGAGUGGUAAAAAUCUCUCUUGAUUUCAGUCACAUGAGAUUCAGAGCCAGAGUCAAUUUGAAUAUAAAAGGAGGCAUCGGUUUUUCCUUUUCCAUUUCCAAUUCUCCUAAUAACCCUCAUCAUUUCUCACUACCUACCGUUGAUUCUCUAAGGAUGUAGAGAACUUCGUUGAAUUUCUCAGACAUAUGAGCGUUAUAAUUGCUUCAAAUGUCUUAUGGAGUCGAUGAGAAAAUCUUGGAUUUAGCACAAACUUAUUGCUUGAACUAGUGAGGAAAGAGGAAGGGAAUCUACUCAAUUUGAAUACUUUUUACCUUCAUACAACAGCGAAAGCAUAACAGUGCAUUGCGAGCUGGAGAAAUUCGUUCUCUUCAGUGAGACGUAGGAUCUCUGUAAACAUAGGCCCAACUAAUCAACAACAACAUUACGUGUCGAAAAUGGGAUUCGAUACUGGAAACUAUCUACCUGGGACCUCACCGUGAAUUGCAUAAACUCGCUGUCAAGCUGGAAAUAGUGAUCCGAUGUUGUUCCCUUGAGAUGGGCAAUGGGAAGAACCCCGGUCCAUUCUUGUCUCUAUUGACUGAAGUUGCCCGGACGUGUCGUAUAACCUCGUGCCGAAGUUGGACCUCAUGCGUAUGAAAUCCAAGCGAGCUACCUAUUCAUCUUCUCAACCUCGAUCUGAGAAACACAUGAAGGACGAGGUUGUGGUCUAACGAUCCAAGGAAACCUGGAGUCAAAAAAGAAAUGGGUCGACAUUUUCCCUCGAGGAGUUUAAUGUCUCCUCAAUCGCACAAUCAACGACUUCUGCAGAGCUUAUAAUCGCUACCAGUCGUUAUGGAAAGAACUGAUGGGGAGAUAAUGGGAAGAAUCUCACGUAAAUCAAGCCCAAAAAUUACUUCUAUUAUUACUGAUUAUAGAGAGGAAUAAUGGGAGAUGGAGCAGAGAAUUUGUAACGUAUUAUCUCAUGGAAAGUUCCUUUGAAAACUGAUGUGUGAAUCUUCUAAAAUUUUGAUAUUUGUUUUUCCCAACAAAAAGUGAGACAAGCUCACACGCAUUUGCCUUAAUUUAAGUUUACAUGAAUAUAAGUAUGGAUAUAAAUGUAGUUAUAGAUAUAUUCGCGGUCUAAAGAAGUUCAUGUGGGUGUGCAUCAUAAUUUGUCACUAAUGUCAAUAAUAAUGUUGUUGUCAAACAGCUAAAAUAUAUUAUUCAAUAAAUAGACCGAGGAACUUCAUCCUUCGGAUCAUGGUGGGUGAUACCAACAGCCAGAAGAAGAAAUGGGCCCCAAUUGAGAAGUUAAAAAAUUAAGAAUGGGUCUUCCUAAUAAAAAUAUAUAAUUAGGUCUUCAUUUGUUUUGCGAAAAAUAAAUAAUUUGAUUUCUUUUUUUUGAAAAUGAUUGUUUGUAUAAUUGAAGUAAUCAACAAUUUAUGUUUAAAUAUUUUCGUGGCCAAUGAAAAUAUUUUUUAUUUAUAUUUUUAAAAAUGUGUUCUCGGCAUUAUUCUUUUUUUACGAAAUAAACAAUAUUUUCAGAUCCUGUAAAAGCCCAUUUCUGCAACAUAUUGGGGCCUUCCUUUCGUUUUUCUUCGAAGGCACCAUGCAACUGGGUUCAGUCCUUAUUUAGGAACGCCGCAUGAGGGUGAUAUGAACACGUUGUACUUUUUAAAUUUCUACCGAGUUUAGUAGGAAUGUCGGUUUUGCCUCCUUUCUAUUUUUAUUAUUAACUUCGGGACAUGAACACUAGACCUCGAAAAAGUGAACCCGAGCCCAAUAACCACUCUAAAAAUAGUGUAUUUUUGUUUUUCUUUUCUCCCCCAUGCUAAGCCGGAGCUAACAAUAAUUUACGUUGAUUUGUAGUCCACAAGCUCCAUCUCUUAUUAUACUUAUAUUUUCAAAAAGGAUAAACGAAAAAUAUCUCAAAUUUAAAUUUAAGGAACUAGUUUAUUUAACUCAAUCAAAUUUAUCUAACUAAUAAUGAAAAGAAUGAUAUGAUUCAUCUAAAUUAGCAAAAUUUAUCCACAAAAAAUGUAUAUUCUAGAUAAUACAAUUUUGGAUGAUCCUGCUUAAUAAUAUGUGACAAAACCAAUGUACUCUGGGCAAAUGAUUUAAUUGCGUUAGUAAAUUUGAGUGGAAAUUAGUCAACGAUACUCUGAAUAAACAUCAAACUAAAUUGAGACUUGAAUUGGUUUGAUUGCAAAUUGGAACAAAAUGAGCACCUACAAGGUCUCUUUCUACAUUUGUUUUUUUUUUUUUUGGUAAGAAGUAAGAAGUAUAUUGACUUUUGAACCAAGAGCUACACAGCUGUACAGUAAGGGAUCCGGCACCAAAAAACUUGCACUCAAAAGAACACGGGCGUCAAAUUGAGUGGAAGGGUGCCAAGGAAAAGCUGCAAACAGAGGAUAAGGCAAACAACACAAGCAGCAAAGAGGCCAUCUUUCUACAUUUGUUGAUGAGCAACAAAAUUAAUAAUAAUAUAUCCAAAGAACAGUCCACGUAUUGCCCACUUGACAAGUCCAUAAAUGUGCAAAGCCAAGUCCAUGGCGUUCACAAACUCAUGAGUCAUUCACAAUAGCCCAAUUUUUCAGGAUACCUGUCUCCUGUGGACGAUUCAUUGGACAACAUCACGUGGUGGGUCCUCCGACUUAUCCAUUGUCUUGUCCAUUCUCUCCAAUCCCAACUUCUUCUCUGCAUACCAAAAUUAAUUUUUUUAGGGACUGAACUGAACAUGACUUCAAAAACUUCAACAUUUGAUCCGCAAGGGGCUCACUAAAGGCCAAACUUCCCAUGAUGGCAUGUUCAAGCUUCCUUAGCUUCCUUACAUACCUCAUGUGCCAAUGAGCCUUUGAGGUUAGGUUCGUGCUUUGGUUAUUUGUCCUAUCUGUCUUCAAUUUUCUUAUCUUUGUUUUGUUUAUUGAAGACCUGCUCACAUAAAUGUUGGGUAACUAUAAAACCUGUCGGACAAUAAAUAGUUAGGUGGUUUCAUCUUAUGCUUCAUCAUCAUCUUUCUAACCAAUUAUCAAGUGUUAGGAACCAAAGACAGUUCCUCGAGAGCUUGUAAAAGCGCCGUAUCUUUAUCGAGGACAAUACAUUGGAUCCAGUAAUCACCUUUUAAAUUGUAGUUGAGCCUAACGAGCAGGUGAUCUAGAGACACCGAGAUUGGUAUACUAAAUGGGUCGACUAAGUGGCGAUUUGACAAAUUGUGAAUCAUCAUUUAAACCGAUGCACCCAUCUAAGCAUCUAACGGUGAUUUGUCGUAUCAUUUAAUAAUUUAAUUCAAUUUGUCGGUCUUAGUAUCUCCAGCAUUGUUCUUAGUACUUGAAUAAAUUUUUCUCAUGAGAAAGGCGUGCAUUCAUGCACACACAUGAUAGGCUAGUAUAGAUUGGUUUUGCAUGGAGAAGAUUACAGAGAUACUGACCACUGCAGAAACUUUUCUUUGUUUUCCAUAUAUAGAUCAGACCUAGACUUCCAGGAAAUCUCCAAAUAUUUUUACGAGUAUCUCAUGUAAUUUUUGUUAGAGCUAUCUUAAAUGAUUUCACAAAGGUAAAAUCCUCCAAAGCUCACAUGCAAUGCUCUUACUUGCCUCCAAGGCUUUUUUCGUUUUAUAGAAAACUUCUUGGAAAACGUUUUCCGAUUUUUUCAAUGUUGUUUUAUGGAAAAUAAACUAGUUAAAGAAAAUGAUUUUCGUUAUUGAAAAAAACACCUUCGAAAGUGAGGAAGUUUUUUUUCACUUCUCAAAAGUAGAAAACAUUUUUCAUAACUUCUUCCAACUCAUUUUCUUUUACCAUACCAAUUUUCAUUUUAUUUUUAUUUUAUCUAUUUCUUUUUUCUUUUUCGUUUUAAAUUGCAUUUUAAUUUUAAUUUUCCUUUGUUUUUUUCUUUAUUUCUUUCCUUUUCUUCCUCUUCCUUGGCCUUGGCCGGUUGACCGAAAGAAAAGGAGAAAAAAGGAAAAAAGAAAAUAAUUAAUAAUAAUAAUAAUAAUAAUAAUAAUAAUAAUGAUGAUGAAUUAAAAAUAAUGGUGGAAAUUUUUUCUUUACCGAAUAGUGAAAAAUAUGGUUAUUUUCUUGGAAAAUGGCUUUUUAAAAAAUUUUCCAGAAACACUAUAUUUUCCGUAAAAUGAACGGAGCCUAAAUGUAUUAUGUCACAAUCUCAUUAUAAAUAACUAGUUAUUAAAAUAUAUUUUCACCAUUGAUAACAAGUUAUAUAUAAAAAAUUUCGUGAAUUAUGAAAAUAUUUUUGGUUGAUUUAUUUUUAUAAGUAAUACAGGCGAUAAUAUUUUCUAAAUCAUUUAUUUUUUCUAGAACAAAUGCAUUCUAAGCAUAAUACGUCAUAAUCAUAUAUGAAUAUACACUCCUCGUCUUUUGGCAUUUCAGAUUCUCUCCUCUCUCCUCUCUCCUUUUCGUUUCUGAUUUUCGCAGUGCAUUCAACUCUUUCCAGCAUGGGCCCUUUGAUAGAGUUCGCAACGUUUAUCCAAUACAAUUCCAUAUUCAAUCAUGAUAUAUAGAUAUAGUACCCAAAUAUGUAUGUAGCAAAUUAUUUCGCACUUAGGGUUUCAUGGGUCGAGGCCAAAAUAUCACCCUUCCAAGAAGAUUUAAUGUGGUGGGAGUUGGAAGUUGAAAUGGGUGGUUGAGUUUCAAAUGAUUGAGCCAAUUUUUAAAACAUAAAGUUCAAGCACUAGAGAAUUCAAUAACUUCCAAACCGGUCCACAGAAUCACAAAAGUGGAAUCCAUAAACCGCUGUCCCAAUGGGGGCCAAAGAGAAGUAGGGUUUGGCCAAGAAAAUGUUUAAGAAAUUGGUGGACGGCCAGUUUGGAAAAGAGAACAAUUGGAAUACCCAUUCAAUGUGUUUAGGUUAGACUGAUAUGGUAGCACAUGGAUCGGACUUAAGUUUCAAGCAAAAAGUAGUCAGAAGAUCGGUGAUGGUUCUCCCAAUGGAAAAUAGAAGUUAGUAAUAAUAUUUGUUCUAAGUACCUUUUCAAAUAAAUGGUGCAUUUAUUUUGUGAAAAAUAAAUAGUUUAAAAAGAAAAUAAAAAUAAUCAUUAGUAUUGUUUAAGAAAUUAAAUGAAAAGUAUUUCGUUGUUAAAAAAAAUUAGACAUAAAUUAUUGUUAAUAAUGAAAAUAUUUUUCAUCGACUAAUUAUUUUAAACGAUACAAGCAAUCAGUCUUGGGAAACUAUUUUUCAAAUUUUUCAUUUUUCACAAAAUCAAUGGAGUCAAAAUAAAUUGGAAUGACAACAGGUUAGACUAAUCAGAUUCCCCAAGAUAAUCGAAUUCCGACUAUGGGUCUAUAGUUAUUGUUAUCACUUCGGCUUCAGAACGGAGAGGUGAUAUCUAUAUGUUGUAGUUACCAUUACAACUAUCCAAUUUGACUUAACAAUAGAUAAAUUGUUAGUAUAACCUUAUUUUUUGCAAUUUGUAUUUUUUAGAUCUUUAAAGUUUUUGAGUGAUUUUAAAGUCAAGGUUCAAUUGACAUGGUUAAUGGGACAGGCUUCAAUGUCGACGAGGCAUCACUUAACGUUCGAUUCCUGUUUCAACUACCCAUUCUACCUAAAGUAGGAUUUCCGGUCAUGCUUGAGCAUUCAUGAUAUGCUAAAAAUUUCUCAGGUUAAGGACAAUCUCUAUUUCUAAAUUCAGUUAUUAUUAUUUUAUUUUUAUUUUUUCUGGGGAUGAUGUUCAUAUCCUAUAGGAGGCAAAGUGGAUAUAGAUGAUAGUUGAAGAUGAGCUUUCAUUUUUUCUUUACGUGGGAUAUCCGAAUCUUUCGACUCAAUUAAUCUUUAUAGAUGUAUGUAAAUCACCUCACUCGCAUGCAUUGCGUAAGACUUCUUGCACAGGGGUGACCAUCAUUUCUAAAAUCACUCUAAGUGUAGAAUACCACGGUUCGAAAUAAAAUUUUCCAUUUCCAAAUGAAAUGUCAAAUCACUCGAUCCAAUCCUUAUGAUGGUUAGGGCGAGCUUCCCCUAUUCAAUUCGGUGCGGCUAUAAAUAUCUAGAGCGUUCCUCAUUCCCAUGAACACAACACAUUUUCAAUCGGCAAAUUGACAAAUGAUUGAUUGCAAGCAAGAGAAGAUAUGGAGGAGGGGAAGAGGCAGUUAGAUGAGUACAGAGGAAGAUCCUUAAAUGAGAGUCAAGAGUUAAAGUGGAUGCAUGUGGGAAGCCAUGUGAAGGCUUUAUUUUAUGAUGACAACUCCAAUUUUUUUUUUCUUUUUCCUUUUGCUAAUUCAGUUAUUAAUAUUUUAUGUUCUUUUUUCAUUACAUUUCAUAUGAUGACGGGAGAAACAGACAAGGCCCCAUGUGAGAAAUCAUUGACCCUGUGCACGAUCAGGGCGUGGAGCCAAUCCUAUUGAGGGUGUGAUAUGAUAGCUGAAGAAAAAGUAUAUAUUAUAUAGCAAAUUUAUUUGGAUAAUAUUCGCAUUAUAUGUGUAAAUAUAUACGUGCGGCUGACCAAACUCAUAUAGAAAAACUAUUGAGAUACAUGCGAAUUAUGUAAUAAAUUAUUUGAUCCCGAUGGCUUGGCUGAGACUGCCAAGCCAAGCGCCCUUCUGGCUAGAAGCCACAAAAUAUACACUCAACCCAAGUGUGCAUCUAUCUUAGAGGUAACAUUCUACCUUUGGUCCCUUACUCUGCACAUGUUUUUGAAUCAAGUCCUUAAACUUUUACUUUAUCUAAUUAAUUUUUUCAACUUGCAUGAGUUUUGUAAAUAAAAUCCUUCGAUUCCGAAUUUGGUCAGUUCAUGUUGAUGAGUCUAUUGGAGCUAGUAAGAGCAACUAGCCAGUUUGAGCGGAAUAUUUCUAUUGAUAACUCUCAUUACUCAAGAUCCGGUUGAGAUCUUCAUUUUCAAAUUUUCACUUCCACAUUUUAAUUUCAAAACGUUUUGUUUGGUAAAUAAGAAUGAAAUAAGGAAUUCAAGUUUCUUAAUGUGUGAAAUUGCACUCUCUCCACGAAUUUGACAAUUUUUAUUAGAUUAUCAGUGAUUCUUUUUCUAAUAACAAUGGAACAAUGGGAGAAAGGCCUAUAUUAUGUCAUCCUCCAACCAAGCGUUUGAUUAAUGGGUUAUAAAUGUCAACAUUUUCCACAUGCAAAACUUCGGCCUGUGCUUGCUUCAACCGAUCAAAACUUCCUCCAAUCAGGGAUAAAGAAAAAACAUCACAUUAGGAUAAUGUUACAACGUCGACUUGCCAAUUAUACAAUACAUACUUCCACAAGCAACUCAUGAAUGGAAUGACUUUGUAAACUUAUCUCUUGCAGUACUUUACAAAAUUGAACAAACUACUUAUAUAAUAGGCCGUCCUCUUUAUGAGUUUGGAUCCUAUCAAUUAACUCUCUUUUGAGAUUGUGACACGUCACCACUUUUUUUUUUUUUUUUUGGGAAGAUAAGGUCUUUUUGAAAAUAUAAGGUCUACAUAUUCUUAUAUCAUGUUUUUAUAUUGCAAGGAUGAGUGAAUUUAUCCUCUGCUAAUUAAGAAAGGUAGAUAUCCUUAAUUUAUCAUAUAAAUUUAGUGGAGUAAAUGGUCAUGUUCUAAUUAUCAACCCGAGACAAGACUUUGCCCUAUUUUAAGAAAAAGAAUAACGAUAAAGAAAAUUGCUGGUGGAGAAGAUGUGAAUCCAAAUUGAUGGUGCAGCUUAGGCUUUUGUAUGAGUUUGAGUCUCAAGAGGGACAGAGUUUGCUGUUGGAGACCACAAAGAAAGAGACAUGAAAUGUUCCUGUGGCCACUGGAAAUGUGGGAGAUCUACCGGACAAGCACAAGCACUCACAUGUAGGAAAAUUGCCUCUUGAUGAUGACAAUUACUCUUUUAUAAGAAAACAUGGGUGUGUGUUUGCGGGGUUUCUUCAAGUUGAACACACGAAAGAACCCACAUGCUAGGGCACUUCUUGGUUUUCGUGGACCCAUUUGAUGGCCAAUCAAUAGUUUGGAGAGAAGAUUGUGAUUGUACCUGCUUGUUUGGUCUGGAGAAAUAGAGGAGGAAAGGGAGAGAGGGGGGGGGGGGGGGGGUGUGGUUCAUGUUAUUUUGAAGAGAGGGAAAGAAAAUCCAAUUUCAACUUCUAUCAUUGUGCAUGAGGAGGUGCAUGUAAUGAAGUCAAAUAAGACUAGAAAAGAAGAACUUUAGAAGAACUUUAGGUCCCAUCAUAAGGUAUGUCCAAUUCGACCCAUGUGCUCACGAUUUUGUCCUAAAAAGGGCCAUAGUGAAAGAGAAGAGGAGCCCCAAUAGCCAUAGUCAUCGUUGAUUCUCAAUUAACAUGGAAUUUGAUUCUCUUAAGUCUCCUUUUUUCCCCUUUAUUGCAAUUGAGUCUUUUUGUUAAACUUGUAGCAUCAGUUUCUUCUAUUAUCUACUUCUGGUAACUAUGAUAAAUUUUUAAUUUUAUAAAAUUAUUAAAAAAGUAUCAUUCCUUGUUGACAUGGCAUGUGGUUUCCUAGACAUAAAAGGUUUCAGUUUUGGGGGAAGGGAGUUCAUCAUAGAGUUGAUUACCUUGGGCUAAUGUGAGGGUUGUGACCAUCCCCUAGCCACUACUUUUGAGGGCCAACUGAUAAGCAUGCACUAGUUCUAAGUCUAAUUGGCCAACUCUUAUUAAUUAUGGAGAAGCAAGUUUUGUAUACGCUCGGCGUAUAUGAACUCACUUCAUCUUAAUCAUUAGAUAGUCUUAGUUCCAAGAGGAAUCUACACAAUUUAACAAUUGAAAUGCACUGAACUCUCGUGCAUUGACUGCAUGUAGAAACUUUUUGCCGUGGAGAGGCUCCUUCUCUUUCUUCUGCCCCUGACUUUGGCAGUGCUCCAAGAGCGAAUUGAUGAAGUUGUCGCAGACAAGUCACAGAAGGAUUCAAUUGCGUAAAUUAAUGAGUCAAAAGACCUGAUACCACAUAGAAGGUUCAGAUGAUCAAGUUGCUCCGAUAAUAACUAAGAUUUCAAGCAUUGAAACCGUUUUUUAUUAACCUUUAUUUUUAAACGAAGCACUAACCGCAAAAGGGAGAAAAUCCCAGAUAAUCUAUUUGUUUAUGCAUCAAACAAGAGGUAGUGAUACUCUUCUUUCUCCUUGGACCUUUUAAUCAAAGUCUCAUCUGUCGGGAGAAUAGGGACGAAGUUGAGUCUAAUCAAUCUAAAUCGCUCAAGUUGGGCUAUAUUUGCUAGCAAACAAGGUUGAAACAGAAUUUUAGAUCCUCCCACUAUUCUUACCCGAAACCCUAGAAUCCAUAAAUAUGAAAUGUCAGGUGCUAUGACAUGAAUCCGAUAAUCUAAUUAUGAGAUUCUAUUGCAUAACAAGGCCUUGGAUUUGUAGGCCUCCCAUCUACUUGAAUUGAAGCCCCCUUAUCAAAGAGAAUUAACACAGGAAAAUGAGAAUUCAUUUUGAGUUACAUUAAACUAGAAGAGAUGACGGCAUGAGGGCAUGUGGAGACAAGCUCAAAUUUGAAAAAGGAAGAGAAAUAUACGGCAGGCCAGGGCAAAGUUGGGGUUCUCUAGAAGGGAUAUGUCAUUGGCUGCUUCCGUGUUUAUAGUGUUCACUUGUCGAGACAAAGUAAGAAAAAAAAUAGUACGAGGGCUCAUGGAGACUAGGUCAUAUACAAGUAUGUUCAGAUGUUCCUUGAAGAAAAGCUUAAGAGGACCAACAUGAACUCAAAACGUGACCUUUCUUUUGGCUUUUUUACUUUUUCUAAUGAUUUUGGGUAAGGAUGAAAAUGGAGGGAGAAAUGAUUGGUUCUAAUUGGUGAAUGCAACUUGCAAACUGCAAGUGCUGAACCAAAUAAUAGGCACAUUUCAUGCACACCAAUAGUAAAGGUGGGACCAUCCUUAGAUAUGAUAGUUUCAGCUUUUUCAAUGUGAAUGCAUGAUUCCAUGAGCACCUACGUGUAUUUAUGUACUACCUUCUUCAAGAGAUAAAAGUAAUAAUUUUGUUUUUUUUUUUUUUCGUGUACAUGUUUUUGCUCUCUUGCAAGUCAAUACAAAGAUAACUUUGAGAUCUUCACUGGAAUCUCUUCAAUUACUUGACUCCAUUCUUUCAAAAUUUGCAAUUAUGCAAUCAUGGGAGUCCUUUCUCCUUAACCUCCAUCAUGUGGGUCUCUUGGAUAAGGUUGAGCUAAAGCAUGAGAAAGUCAAGAGCAAAAUAAUUUCUCUUUCUUUCUUCCUUUUCUGAAAGUGCAAGGCAAUGCAUAGUCCAUAUGAUAGAUCAUGACUGCGCCUGAUCAUUGAUGAGUCCUUGUCAAUUGUUGCUUACGUUGAAAUCAAUCUUGAUGAUUAGAUUGUGGUGAGAUCAUGCGUGGUUUUGACAUUCAUGGAAUGAUUGCGAUCCAUGUACUGGGGAUUCAAUCAAAAUCUCCACUCUAUAAGUGGACCAUGCACAUUUAUCUCUUGAGCAUGGUUCUCUUCUGAUAGAUGCUAGGGUUACAAUGAAGGCAAAAGGCCGCAGCUUUACAUGUAAUAAAAAUUUGGUCCAUCAAGAGUCCUUUAUCACCUUGAAUUAUUAUUAUUAUUGACAGAAUACCUCUUACCAUCUAUUUAUACAUAUAUGUGUGUGUGUGAUUUGUGAAUUAAGAACGAUGCAAUUCCAACGGCCAAUUAAGAAGCAUGCCUUAACAAAAUUCAUUGGCAAUUGAAGAACUCAGCUGGAAUAAAAAUCCUGUUAUUGUAAUCCGUAUGUAGACUCAUGUUAGGUCUAGUGACUGUGCAAAGAUAAUUUACAGAGGCACGUGUCAUAAAUCACUUAUUAAUGGGAUUUGUCUAAACUGUAUAUACAUGUGAUUCUUCUCCAAAUAACGACAUUAAUAUUUAGAUAAAACCUUUAUACAAGGUAUCAGAGCCAAGUUUCAAUCGUUUGCACUCUAUGUAGUUAAUAGUUCAUUUCAAAUGUGGAUUCUGAUUUGCCUUAUUCCACGUUGUCAAUACCACAGACUUAAGUACCAAACAGCCUAACUCGGACGACAGUCAUCGGUCAAAUCGAAUGGGUAUGGAGCCCUAAGGGAACCGUCCGAGUACAAAUUUGGAUGGACGAAACUCAGCCAAUGAUGAAGAGCCAUAUCCCAAGUUCAAGCACACUCUUUUUGACAAAAUUGUCGAGCAAAAGAUGACGUGAUGGAGAACUAAAGCGAUGGAGAAAGCAACCCCAAGUCGUAUGUGGGUUAAGCACGCUCAAUACCCUACUCGUCAAGCAACUCAACAUGGUGGGGAAAUUUCAGGCAUUGUGUCAUCUAAUUUGAGCAACCGAUAUAUUUCCUUUUCAAUAGUGUUGCCAAAAGAAAGAAAGAAUCGCGUCAACAAGAAAGUGAUGCGAGAUGGUCCAACAUGACCAAACACAUGAAUUUUCAAUUUGUGUUAGCAAAGGUUUAAUAAAGGAAGAAGGGUUUUACAUGCGCAAGUCAAUGGAGAGGACAAGAGAAAAUGGCGAAGGGUGGGAUGUGAACAAAUCGUGGGGUUGGGGAAAUGGGUAUGAAAAUGCCCUUACGUGCAAAAGGACCAAUCGAUUCUGACUACAAAUCAAAAGUCACAUGGAAAAUAUAUACCUUCUACAUUGAAAAACAAUCAUUUGCCCAAUACAAGACAAAAAGCAGGUGGAGGAGAGGGUCAUCAAUUAUUGUAGAAUCGAUUCCCCUUUUAGAAUUACAUUCAACCGUCCGAAGUGUACAGCAACCUUGUUGCUUCUCUUUCCCCUUUGAGAAAUCAGGAUGUAGAUAUAAAGUGGUAGAAAAUUUAAGUAAUAAAUUCAUAUAUGCCUCUGAAAAAUUUAAGAUUCUAAAACAAUUGGCAGUGAUACCAUACCACCUCAGAUGAUAUUAGAGCAAGAUAUUUUGAGUCGAAUCUUCCAAGUCCUAUUGGCCUCCCAGAUAAGAUAUUUUCACAUUUAGUACUAAGCAAAAAAAAUAAAAAAAAUAAACUAAGUAUAAAGGGGAGUGAUCAAAUAUUUAAAUAAUAAAUUAAGCAUUUAUUUAAAAUGUUUGAGUUUUUGAAAUAGUUAAUAAUGAUCCCAUAAAACCUCAUAAGAGGGGAAAAAAGUAUUGCAUUUACUCAAGGAGGGCUUGCCCAUCCUUGGGUCUCUCUAGGAGCCUAUCACUUAGAAAAUAGUUUACGACAUAUGUGAUAAUUCAAGCUUGAGGAAGGUUAUUGGCUACAAACUUUCUCAUCCUUGUACUUAAGAAGAAAGAAAAAUGUCACCUAUGAAUUGUUCUUGUCCUCACAUAAUGCAUCCUUUGAACAACCUCGAGGUAUAAUAAGGGGUGUUCAAUAUUGGUCGAAAAAAUAAGAACCGGUAUCCAAUAAAAAAUUUCAUUAGGUCCAUCGACAAUGAUUUUUUUGCAUAACCAUUACUCUUGAUAACGUGAUAUGCGCAUAAAAUCUGGCGUUAUAAACAACUUAAUAUUUGCACGAGGGACAAAACAGAAAUUAAGCUCAUUAAACCCGAAGAAAGAGCAAGAAAAUAGAAACAUAUGUCUGAGCCAGAAGCUCGAGCCAUGGCCUGGUGGAGCGAAGCCAAGAAAAAAGCCAAACAACGACCGGUUCAACUGAAAGUAACCGUCAAAGGGGGCGAAAGAAAAGGUGAGAAUAGAAUAACUAUAUGGAGUUUCCAACUACCAAUGCAUUUGCAAAAUGACAAAGGAGAGAGGAGAAGAACAUGUAACCUAAUGAAUUUUCUAUUGCCUGAUGAACUGUGUCGCUCUAUAAAAUGCUUAGAAAAGGCCACUCAUGAGGCCCCCCUGACCACAUUGUCCCAUUCUCCACUGCCCAUGUCCCUGAGAACAUGGAGUAAAUUAUGGCUGCCUUCUCCACUAGACUUCUCUCUCUCUCUCUCUCUCUCCCUGGAGUAAAUUAUGGCUGCCUUCUCCGCUAGACUUCUCUCUCUCUCUCUCUCUCUCUCUCUCUCUCUUUCUCUCUCUCUCUCUCUCAAUUAUUGUCUAAUAUGUUGCAGGCAAUACAUAAAAAAAUGUUUGUGCUUAAUGUUUUGAGCAUCCGAAUAAUCUCUAAUAGAUGUUCCAUGUAUACUGUUGCUCGAUGAAAAAAAAAUUAACGGAAUGCAAAACAUGCGGUUUGAAAAAAGGUGUUAAGCGAGGAAGAAAAUUAUGCUUAUUAAAAUCGGAUAUUACACCAAUUCUCUAGUUAUUUUAAGCUUUGGGGAAAUUUAGAGCCUUUUGCUUUCGCCUUGGAAAGCAACAAAUGUAAAAAGCAUUCGACGAGAGGACUAUUAAGAACUUGUUAUUGAAUUAAUUCGUUUUGAUUGAUUGCGUGACUUUUCAAAUUCUUAGGAGAUGGUUAACCAAGCAAAUUAUCAAAUUGCUUAUGAUUUCACUUUGGUAAAUAGUAAACACCAUUGCCUGGUGAACAAUUUGACAUCGAAAGACCGUGUUGCUGAAAUUUUGACAUUGUAAUUUGUAAACUACCUAUAAUGGUAUAAAUUUUCGAAGUUUGAAGACAAGUUAUCAAGAUCAAAUAUUUGAAUUUUGCAUUGUAAAAGGAGACAGACGGAAGGUGUUAGUUAAACAAGACUUUUAAUGAAAGGGUAAUUGAGUCUAGGUAUAAAUGGUCUGGACAAGAUAAAUGAGUACAAAACCAUCUUAUUCCAUAUAAUCUGCACAAAAUACCUUGUUCAUGGUUUAGGAUGCGGUGUCGAAGGAGGUUAAUGGGCGCAAACCACUUCAUUUAAUUUGAAAAAAAAAUCCUCUUCUCUCUCUACAACAACAAAUAUUUCAAAUAGUUGUAUUCAAGAUUAAGAGAGAGCACAUGAUUCGGAGAAUUGUGCCAAGAGAUGAAAAAUCUAUGGUGAUUCACAUAAGACGGUGGAAUUGCUAGAAUUGCUAGUAGUUAAAAAUCUUAUCAGUUCUUAUAUUUUUGUUAGAAUUUCAAAAUCAUCUUUUAAUUAUUUUUAACGAGAGAGUUAUAUUUACAUCCUUAGAGGAAUUUGAUGAUUGAUUUUGCUAAUAUGAUUUUAAUGAUGUUAAAUUUUUCUAACCCGAAAACUCCCUCCCCCCAGGUGACAACGAUCACCACCACCUCGAGGUGGCGCCCGCCUCUUUGAUGAUUGUUGGUGAUGGGGCGCUUAUUUGGCAUCAUGUGAGAAAUUUGAGCAAAUCAUAAGCCUUAAUGCCAAUCAAAUUAAACAAGUAUAUGACUAUGAAUUGUUUAUAAAAGAAUAACGGCCAUUUUGAAUAGGGAAAAAAGGUAGAAGGGCAAUUUUAAAUUGUCAGUAUGGAAAUUGAGAGUGACUUUAUCCCUUUUUACACUGCCCUAGACCAACUUCUUCAAUAUACCCCUACGCAUAUGCUAUAAAGAUGUUAUGAACCAAAAGAAAAAAAAAAUGCUAUAAAAAUGUUCUCCUCCUCUUCGAGAGAUUCAGAGCUUCGCACCACUUUCAAUACACCAAAAACUAUCUCAUGUGAUGAGGUACCAACCCUAAUGGGUCAGUGAAAAAUGAAACAAAAAAGAAAUUGUAAAGAAAUCAUUCAUUGCUCUCCCCCAUGCCCACUCUCUCUCUCUCUCUCUCUCUCUCUCAUUUGCAUAAGUCAAGCCCAACUAUAAAAAGGCAUCCUCAAUUUACGGCAGAAACUCCCAGAUUGAUCACUCUUUAGCUCCUGACUCUUGAGAGUCUCUCUGGGAAAAAAAGUCGUCAAACCGGCCAAACACAAACCCUACAAAAAAAAGAAGACCCAGAAGGUGAAGAGAGAGAGAGAGAGAGAGAGAGGAACGAGAACAGAGUAUGGAGAUUGAAAUGGUGAAGUGCGAGUGUUGUGGGCUGAAGGAGGACUGCACCCAAGACUACAUAUCCCAAGUGAAGUCCAAAUUUGAAGGCAAAUGGCUCUGUGGGUUGUGCUCGGAGGCCGUGCGGGACGAAGUAAACAGAGCCAACAGCAACAACAAGAAGCCAUUCGGGGUUGAAGAAGCCGUGGGAGCUCACAUGUCCUUCUGCAGAAAGUACAAGUCCAGCCCUGCAUUCAGGGUAGCUGAUGGGAUGAGGCAGAUGCUGAGGAGGAGGUCUGGCGAUCUGUCGUCUUCAUCAUCUUCUUCUUCUUCUUCUUCAUUGUCUUCCUCUUCUUC